UUUAGAAAAGUCCUUAAUGAACCUCCUAUAAAAACUGGCAUGACCAAGGAAACUUCUUAUACCUUUAAUGUCCUUGGGACAUGGCAUCUUUUCAAUAGCAUCAACUUUAGCUUUAUCAACUUCAAUACCUCUUUCAGAAAUUUUAUGCCCCAAGACAAUGCCUUCAUUAACCAUAAAGUGGCACUUUUCCCAAUUCAAGACGAGACUAGUGUCUUCACAUCUCUGCAAAAUUCGAUCUAGGUUGCUCAAGCAAUCAUCAAAAGAGGAUCCAUAAACGGAGAAGUCAUCCAUGAAUACCUCACAAAUCUUUUCAUAAAAGUCAGAGAAUAUAGCCAUCAUGCAUCUUUGAAAGGUAGCAGGUGCAUUACAUAAACCAAAAUGCAUACGUCUAUAAGCAAAAGUACUGAAAGGGCAAGUAAAAGUAGUUUUUGAUUGAUUCUCCGCUGACACAGGUAUUUGAGAGAAACCAGAAUAACCAUCUAGAAAGCAGAAAUGUGUAUGUUUGGAUAGUCUUUCUAGCAUUUGAUCAAUAAAAGGUAAAGGGUAAUCAUCUUUCUUAGUAGCUUUGUUUAAUUUACAGAAAUCAAUUACCAUCCUAUAACCUGUAAUAAUUCUUUGCGGGAUCAAUUCAUCUUUAUCAUUAGGAAAGAUAGUAAUACCUCCCUUUUUAGGAACGCAAUGGACAGGGCUUACCCACUCACUAUCAGCAACGGGAUAAAUUAUACCUGCCUCAAGGAGCUUUAGUAUCUCCUUUCUUACCACUUCUUUCAUUUUAGGAUUUAACCAUCGCUGAGGAUCCCUAACUGGUUUGGCAUCUUUCUCCAUUUUAUUUUGUGUUGGCAUAGAGUGGGACUAAUGCCCUUAAGAUCAUCCAGAGUAUAUCCAAUAGCAGCACGGUGCUUCUUCAGAGUUUUCAAUAAUCUUUCCUCUUCUUGCUCUGAAAGGUUAGCACUAAUAAUAAUAGGAUGUAUCUUCUUUUCAUCAAGAUAAACAUAUUUAAGAUUAUCAUGUAAUGGUUUGAGCUCUAACACGGGAUCACCCUUGGGUGGAGGGGGAUCCCCUAGGAUUUCAACAGGUAUAUGUUUCAGAAUAGGACCCUGUUGAAGGAAUACUUCAUCUAUUUCCCUUCUUUCAUUCAUAAACAUAUCAUUUUCAUGGUCUAGCAAAUAUUGUUCUAACGGAUCAGUGGGAGGUACGGCAAUAGAAGCAAGACCAAUAAUCUCAUCCUUACUAGAUGAUUCUUUAUCACGGGGUUGUCUAUGAAACUUAGCAAAAUUAAACUCAUGAGACAUAUCCCCUAAGCCAAUUGUAACAAUAUCCUUUUCACAAUCAAUCCUAGCAUUAACAGUAUUCAAGAAGGGUCUACCAAAUAUAAUGGGACAAAAGUCAUCUUGUGGGGAACCAAGAACAAGAAAAUUAGCAGGAUAUUUAACUUUCCCACACAAGACUUCAACAUUUCUAACAAUCCCAAAUGGCUUAAUAGUAUCCCUAUUGGCAAGCUUAAUAGUAACAUCAAUAUCUUCCAUUUCAGCGGGUGCAAUAUCAUGCAUAAUUUUUUUAUAUAAGUCAAAGGGUAUUGCACUAGCACUAGCACCCAUAUCACAUAAGCCAUGAUAACAAUGAUCUCCUAUUUUAACAGAAAUAACAGGCAUGCCUACAACAGGUCUAUGUAUCUUAGCAUCUGGUCUAGCAAUAUUAGCAGUUUCACCAUAGAAAUAAAUAACAUGCCCAUCUAAAUUAUCAUCCAAGAGAUCUUUAACCAUAGCAAUACUAGGUUCAACUUUGAUUUUCUCGGGGGGUGUAUAAGUUCUAGUAUUACUCUUACAAACAAAAGUUGAAGCUUUAGCAUGAUCCUUUAUCCUAACAGGAAAAGGUGGUUUCUCAACAUAAGUAGUAGGAACAAUAGGAUCAUUAUAAGUGAUAGUUUUUUCUUCAACUGUAAUAGGUGCAACUACUUUUACUUCAGUGAGAGGAUUAUAUUUAAACCACUUCUACUUAGGGAGAUCAACGUGAGUAGCAAAAGAUUCACAAAAAGCAGCUACUAUCUUAGAGUCAAGUCCAUAUUUAGCGCUAAAUCCACGAAAAGCAUCGGUAUCCAUAAAAGAUUUAACACAAUCAAACUUAGGUGUUAUACCUGACUCCUUACCAUCAUCGGAACCCCAAUCUUCAGAGUUGUGUUUAAUUCUUUCCAAUAAAUCCCACUUGAAUUCAGUAGUCUUCGGCAUAUAAGAACCAGCACAGGAAGUAUCGAGCAUGGUGCGAUCAUUGAGAGAAAGCGGAGCAUAAAAAUUUUGAAUAAUCAUUUCUCUUGAGAGCUCAUGAUUGGGGCAUCAAUAUAACAUUGACUUAAGCCUCCCCCAAGCUUGAGCGAUGCUUUCUCCUUCGCGAGGCCAAAAAUUAUAUAUGUAAUUACGAUCACGAUGGACAAGAUGCAUAGGAUAGAACUUCUGGUGGAAUUCCAACUUCAAUCGUUUAUAGUUCCAAGAUCCAGUAUCAUCACAUAGCCUAUACCAUGUCAAUGCGUCUCCCUUUAAAGAUCAAGGGAAGACCUUCCUUUUGACAACAUCAUCGGGAAUACCUGCAAGCUGAAAUAAUCCACAAACUUCAUCCACAAAGAUAAGGUGUAAAUCGGGAUGCAAUGUUCCAUCUCCUGCAAAGGGAUUAGCUAGCAGUUUCUCUAUCAUACCCGAAGGAAUCUCAAAGUAAAUAUUUUCAAUAGGUUCAGUAGGUUGAGGAGAAACUCUUUGCUCUAUUGGUCGGGGUGAAGAUACCCCGAACAAGCCCCUCAAAGGAUUAGUUUCCAUAGUAACAAGUGACAGAAAAUUUCAGCACACUAUAUAAAUAUUUCCUUACCAAGUUCAACUCACCAAAGGCGCUUCACUCCCCGACAACGUUGCCAGAAAAGAGUCUUGAUGACCCACAAGUAUAGGGGAUCUAUCGUAGUCCUUCCGAUAAGUAAGAGUGUCGAACCCAAUGAGGAGCAGAAGGAAAUGACAAGCGGUUUUCAGUAAGGUAUUCUCUGCAACCACUAAAAUUGUAGGUAACAGAUAGGUUUGUGAUAAGAUAAUUUGUAACUGGUAACAAGCAAUGAAAGUAAAUAAAGUGCAGCAAGGUGGCCCAAUCCUUUUUGUAGCAAAGGACAAGCCUAGACAAUUUCUUAUAAUGAGAAAAGCGCUCCCGAGGACACAUGGGAAUUAUCGUCAAGCCAGUUUUCAUCACGCUCAUAUGAUUCGCGUUCGAUACUUUGAUAAUUUGAUAUGUGGGUGGACCGGUGCUUGGGUACUGCCCUUUCUUGGACAAGCAUUGAAGGAAAUAUGCCCUAGAGGCAAUAAUAAAGUUAUUAUUUAUUUCCUUAUUUCAUGAUAAAUGUUUAUUAUUCAUGCUAGAAUUAUAUUAACCGGAAACAUAAUACAUGUGUGAAUACAUAGACAAACAUAGUGUCACUAGUAUGCCUCUACUUGACUAGCUCAUUAAUCAAAGAUGGUUAUGUUUCCUAACCAUAGACAUGUGUUGUCAGUUGAUUCAUGGGAUCACAUCAUUAGGAGAAUGAUGUGAUUGACAUGACCCAUUCCGUUAGCCUAGCACUUGAUCGUUUAGUAUGUUGCUAUUGCUUUCUUCAUGACUUAUACAUGUUCCUAUAACUAUGAGAUUAUGCAACUCCCGUUUACCAGAGGAACACUUUGGGUGCUACCAAACGUCACAAUGUAACUGGGUGAUUAUAAAGGAGUACUACAGGUGUCUCCAAAGGUACAUGUUGGGUUGGCGUAUUUCGAGAUUAGGUUUUGUCACUCCGAAUGUCGGAGAGGUAUCUCUGGGCCCUCUCGGUAAUGCACAUCACUAUAAGCCUUGCAAGCAAUGUAGCUAAUGAGUUAGUUACGGAAUGAUGCAUUAUGUAAUGAGUAAAGAGACUUGCCGGUAACGAGAUUGAACUAGGUAUUGGAUACCGACGAUCGAAUCUCGGGCAAGUAACAUACCGAUGACAAAGGGAACAAAGUAUGUUGUUAUGCAGUUUGACUGAUAAAGAUCUUCGUAGAAUAUGUAGGAGCCAAUAUGAGCAUCCAGGUUCCGCUAUUGGUUAUUGACUGAGAAUAGUUCUAGGUCAUGUCUACAUAGUUCUCGAACCCGUAGGGUCCGCACGCUUAAGGUUUCGAUGACAGUUAUAUUAUGAGUUUAUGAGUUUUGAUGUACCUAAGGAGUUCGGAGUCCCGGAUGAGAUCGGGGACAUGACGAGGAGUCUCGAAAUGGUCGAGACGUAAAGAUCGAUAUAUUGGACGACUAUAUUCGGAGUUCGGAAAGGUUCCGAGUAAUUCGGGUAUUUUACGGAGUACCGGAGAGUUGCGGGAAUUCGCCGGGAGAAGUAUUGGGCCUUAUUGGGCCAUACGGGAAAGAGAGAGGGGCUGCCUAGGGCAGGCUGCGCGCCCCCCAAGGCCUAGUCCGAAUUGGACUAGGGGGGAGGGGCCGCACCCCCUCCUUCCUUCCCUUUAUCUCUUCCCUUUCCUUCUCUCCUACUCCUACUACAUGGAAGGGCUCCUAGUUCUACUAGUAAAGGGGGAAUCCUACUCCCGGUGGGAGUAGGACUCCCCUAGGGCGCGCCAUAGAGAGGGCCGGCCCUCCCCCUCCUCCACUCCUUUAUAUACGGGGGCAGGGGGCACCCCAUAGACACACAAGUUGAUCUUCGUGAUCGUUCCUUAGCCGUGUGCGGUGCCCCCCUCCACCAUAUACCACCUCGGUCAUAUCGUUGCGGUGCUUAGGCGAAGCCCUGCGUCGGUAGAACAUCAUCAUCAUCACCACGCCGUCGUGCUGACGAAACUCAUCCCCGACACUUUGCUAGAUCGGAGUCCGGGGAUCGUCAUCGAGCUGAACGUGUGCUGAACUCGGAGGUGCCGUACGUUCGGUGCUUGGAUCGGUCGGAUCGUGAAGACGUACGACUACAUCAACCGCGUUGUCAUGACGCUUCCGCUUACAGUCUACGAGGGUACGUGAACAAUACUCUCCCCUUUCGUUGCUAUGCCAUCACCAUGAUCUUGCGUGUGCGUAGGAAUUUUUUUGAAAUUUCUACGUUCCCCAACAGUGGCAACCGAGCCUAGGUUUUAUGCGUUGAUGUUAUAUGCACGAGUAGAACACAAGUGAGUUGUGGGCGAUACAAGUCAUACUGCUUACCAGCAUGUCAUACUUUGGUUCAGCGGUAUUGUUGAAUGAAGCGGCCCGGACCGACAUUACGCGUACACUUACGCGAGACUGGUUUUACCGCCGUGCUUUGCACACAGGUGACUAGCGGGUGUCUGUUUCUCCAACUUUAGUUGAACCGAGUGUGGCUACGCCCGGUCCUUGCGAAGGUUAAAACAGCACUAACUUGACGAACUAUCGUUGUGGUUUUGAUGCGUAGGUAAGAACGGUUCUUGCUCAGCCCGUAGCAGCCACGUAAAAUUUGCAACAACAAAGUAGAGGACGUCUAACUUGUUUUUGCAGGGCAUGUUGUGAUGUGAUAUGGUCAAGAUGUGAUGCUAUAUUUUAUUGUAUGAGAUGAUCAUGUUUUGUAACCGAAGUUAUCGGCAACUGGCAGGAGCCAUAUGGUUGUCGCUUUAUUGUAUGAAAUGCAAACGCCCUGUAAUUGCUUUACUUUAUCACUAAGCGGUAGCGAUAGUCGUAGAAGCAAUAGAUGGCGCAACGAUAACGAUGCUACGAUGGAGAUCAAGGUGUCGCGCCGGUGACGAUGGUGAUCACGACGGUGCUUCGGGGAUGGAGAUCACAAGCACAAGAUGAUGUUGGCCAUAUCAUAUCACUUAUAUUGAUUGCAUGUGAUGUUUAUCCUUUAUGCAUCUUAUCUUGCUUUGAUUGACGAUAGCAUUUUAAGAUGAUCUCUCACUAAAAUUAUCAAGAAGUGUUCUCCCUGAGUAUGCACCGUUGCGAAAGUUCUUCAUGCUGAGACACCACGUGAUGAUCGGGUGUGAUAGGCUCUACGGUCAAAUACAACGGGUGCAAAACAGUUGCACACACGGAAUACUCAGGUUAAACUUGACGAGCCUAGCAUAUACAGAUAUGGCCUCGGAACACGGAGACCGAAAGGUCGAACGUGAAUCAUAUAGUAGAUAUGAUCAACAUAGUGAUGUUCACCAUUGAAACUACUCCAUCUCACGUGAUGAUUGGACAUGGUUUAGUUGAUUUGGAUCACGUGAUCACUUAGAUGACUAGAGAGAUGUCUGUCCAAGUGGGUGUUCUUAAGUAAUAUGAUUAAUUGAACUUAGAUUUAUCAUGAACUUAGUCCUGGUAGUAUUUUGCAAAUUAUGUUGUAGAUCAAUAGCUUGCGUUGUUGCUUUCAUAUGUUUAUUUUGAUAUGUUCCUAGAGAAAAUUGUGUCGAAAAAUGUUAGUAGCAAUGAUGCGGAUUGGAUCCGUGAUCUGAGGUUUAUCCUCAUUGCUGCGCAGAAGAAUUCUGUCCUUGAUGCACCGCUAGGUGACAAACCUAUUGCAGGAGCAGAUGCAGACGUUAUGAACGUUUGGCUAGCUCAAUAUGAUGACUACUUGAUAGUUUAGUGCACCAUGCUUAACGGCUUAGAAUCGGGACUUCAAAGACGUUUUGAACGUCACGGACCAUAUGAGAUGUUCCAGGAAUUGAAGUUCAUAUUUCAAGCAAAUACCCGAGUUGAGAGAUAUGAAGUCUCAAACAAGUUCUAUAGCUAAAGGAUGGAGGAGAAUCGCUCAACUAGUGAACAAGUGCUCAGAUUGUCUGGGUACUACAAUCGCUUGAAUCAAGUGGGGGUUAAUCUUCCAGAUAAGAUAGUGAUUGACAGAGUUCUCUAGUCACCAUCACCAAGUUAGUAGAACUUCGUGAUGAACUAUAGUAUGCAAAGGAUGACGAAAAUGAUUCCCGAGCUCUUCGUGAUGUUGAAAUCGACGAAGGUAGAAAUCAAGAAAGAGCAUCAAGUGUUGAUGAUUGACAAGAUCACUAGUUUCAAGAAAAGGGCAAAGGGAAAGAAAGGGAAACUUCAAGUAGAAUGGCAAACAAGUUGUCACUCCCAUGAAGAAGCCCAAAGCUGGACCUAAGCCUGAAACUGAGUGUUUCUACUGCAAAGGAAAUGGUCACUGGAAGUGGAACUACUCCAAAUAUUUGGUGGAUAAGAAGGAUGGCAAAGUGAACAAGGGUAUAUUUUGAUGUACAGGUUAUUGAUGUGUACCUUACUAGUGUUUAUAGUAGCCCCUGAGUAUUUGAUACUUGUUCGGUUGCUCAAAAUUUAGUAACUCAAACAGGAGUUACAGAAUAAACAGAGACUAGUUGAAGGGGAAGUGACGAUGAGUGUUGGAAGUAGUUCCAAGAUUGAUAUGAUCAUCAUCGCACACUCCCUAUACUUUUCGGGAUUAGUGUGAAACCUAAAUAAAUGUUAUUUGGCGUUUGCGUUGAGCAUGAAUAUGAUUUGAUCAUGUUUAUUGCGAUACGUUUAUUCAUAUAAAAUCAGAGAAUAAUUGUUGUUCUGUUUACAUGAAUAAAACCUUCAAAUGGUCAUACAGCCAAUGAAAAUAGUUUGUUGGAUCUCGAUCGUAGUGAUACACAUAUUCAUAAUAUUGAUGCCAAAAGAUGCAAAGUUAAUAAUGAUAGUGCAACUUAUUUGUGGCACUGCCGUUUGGGUCAUAUCGGUGUAAAGCGCAUGAAGAAACUCCAUAAAGAUGGAUUUUCGGAAUCACUUGGUUAUGAAUCAUUUGAUGCUUGCGAACCGUGCCUUUUGUUGCAAGAUGACUAAAACUCCGUUCUCCGGAACAAUGGAACAAGCUACUGACUUAUUGGAAAUAAUACAUACCGAUGUAUGCGAUCCAAUGAGUGUUGAUGCUUGUGGCAAGUAUCGUUAUUUUCUGACCUUCACAAGAUGAUUUGAGCAGAUAUGGGUAUAUCUACUUGAUGAAACAUAAGUCUGAAAUAGUUGAAAGGUUCAAAUGAUUUCAGAGUGAAGUGGAAAAAUUAUCGUAACAAGAAAAUAAAACUUCUGCGAUCUGAUCGUAGAGACGAAUAUUUGAGUUACGAGUUUGGUCUUCAAUUAAAACUAUGUGGAAUAGUUUCACAGCUCACGCCACCUGGAACACCACAACGUUAUGGUGUGUCCGAACGUCAUAACCGCACUUUAUUGGAUAUGGUGCGAUCUAUGAUGUCUCUUGCUGAUUUACCACUAUUGUUUUGGGGUUAUGCAUUAGAGACAGCUGCAUUCACGUUAAAAGGGCACCAUCUAAAUCCGUUGAGACGACACCAUAUGAAUUAUGGUUUAGCAAGAAACCCAAGUUGUCGUUUCUUAAAGUUUGGGGCUGCGAUGCUUAUGUGAAAAAGUUUCAUCCUAAUAAGCUCAAACCCAAAUCGGAGAAGUGCGUCUUCAUAGAAUACCCAAAGGAAAUUGUUGGGUACACCUUCUAUCACAGAUCCGAAGGCAAGAUAUUCGUUGCUAAAAAUGGAUCCUUUCUAGAGAAGGAGUUUCUCUUGAAAGAAGUGAGUGGGAGGAAAGUAGAACUUGAUGAGGUAACUGUACCUUCUCCCAAAUUGGAAAAUAGUUCAUCACUGAAAUCAGUUCCAGUGAUUCCUACACCAAUUAGUGAGGAAGCUAAUGAUGAUGAUCAUGAAACUUCAGAUCAAGUUACUACAGAACCUCAUAGGUCCUCGAGAGUACGGUCCGCACCAGAGUAGUACGGUAAUCCUGUUCUGGAAGUCAUGUUACUAGACCAUGAUAAACCUACGAACUAUGAGGAAGCGAUGAUGAGCCCAGAUUCCGCAAAAUGGCUUGAGGCCAUGAAAUCUGAGAUAGGAUCCAUGUAUGAGAACAAAGUGUGGACUAUGGUGGACUUGCCCGAUGAUCGGCAAACCAUAGAAAAUAAAUGGAUCUUCAAGAGGAAGAUGGACAUUGAUUGUAGUGUUACUAUCUACAAAGCUCGACUUGUCGCAAAAAGGUUUUUGACAAGUUCAAGGUGUUGACUACAAUGAGAUUUUCUCAACUGUAGCGAUGCUUAAGUCUGUCCGAAUCAUGUUAGCAAUUGCCACAUUUUAUGAAAUUUGGCAAAUGAAUGUCAAAACUACAUUCCUUAAUGGAUUUAUUAAAGAAGAGUUGUAUAUGAUACAACCAGAAGGUUUUGUCAAUCCUAAAGGUGCUAACAAAGUGUGCGUGCUCCAGUGAUCCAUCUAUGGACUGGUGCAAGCAUCUCGGAGUUGGAAUAUACGCUUUGAUGAGUUGAUCAAAGCAUAUGGUUUUAUACAGACUUUUGGAGAAGCCUGUAUUUACAAGAAAGUGAGUGGGAGCUCUAUGGCAUUUCUAAAUACUAUAUGUGGAUGACAUAUUGUUGUUUGGAAAUGAUAUAGAAUUUCUGGAUAGCAUAAAAGGAUACUUGAAUAAGAGUUUUUAAAAAGAAAGACCUCAGUAAAGCUACUUACAUAUUGAGCAUCAAGAUCUAUUGAAAUAGAUCAAGACGCUUGAUAAGAUUUUUCAAUGAGUACAUACCUUGAUAAGAUUUUGAAGUGGUUCAAAAUGGAACAGUCAAAGAAGGAGUUCUUGCCUGUGUUCCAAGGUGUGAAGUUGAGUAAGACUCAAAUCCUGACCACGACAGAAAAUAGAAAGAGGAUGAAAGUCAUUCCCUAUGCAUCAGUCAUAGGUUCUAUAAAAGUAUGCCAUGUUAUGGUCCAGACCUAUUGUAUACUCUGCCCUGGUUUGGCAAGGGAGUACAAUAAUGAUCUAGUAGUAGAUCACUGGACAUUGGUCAAAAUUAUCCUUAGUGGAAUAAGGAAAUAUUUCUCGAUUAUGGAGGUGAUAAAAGAUCCCGUCGUAAAGACUUACAUCGGUGCAAGCUUUUACACCGAUCCAGAUGACUCUAAGUCUCAAUCUAGAUACAUAUUGAAAGUGGGAGCAAUUGGCUAGAGUAGCUUCGUGCAGAGCAUUAUAGACAUAGAAUAUUUGAAAAAUACAUACGACUCUGAAUGUGAUAGACCCGUUGACUAAGCUUCUCUCACAAGCAAAACAUGAUCACACCUUAGUACUCUUUGCGUGUUAAUCACAUAAGCGACGUGAACUAGAUUAUUGACUCUAGUAAACCCUUUGGGAGUUGGUCACAUCACGAUGUGAACUAUGGGUGUUAAUCAUAUACAUAUAUGAAUAUUGGUGUUAAAUCACAUGGCAAUGUGAACUAGAUUAUUGACUCUAGUGCAAGUGGGAGACUGAAGGAAAUAUGCUCUAGAGGCAAUAAUAAAGUUAUUAUUUAUUUCCUUAUUUCAUGAUAAAUGUUUAUUAUUCAUGCUAGAAUUAUAUUAACCGGAAACAUAAUACAUGUGUGAAUACAUAGACAAACAUAGUGUCACUAGUAUGCCUCUACUUGACUAGCUCAUUAAUCAAAGAUGGUUAUGUUUCCUAACCAUAGACAUGUGUUGUCAGUUGAUUAAUGGGAUCACAUCAUUAGGAGAAUGAUGUGAUUGACAUGACCCAUUCCGUUAGCCUAGCACUUGAUCGUUUAGUAUGUUGCUAUUGCUUUCUUCAUGACUUAUACAUGUUCCUGUAACUAUGAGAUUAUGCAACUCCCGUUUACCAGAGGAACACUUUGGGUGCUACCAAACGUCACAACGUAAUUGGGUGAUUAUAAAGGAGUACUACAGGUGUCUCCAAAGGUACAUGUUGGGUUGGCGUAUUUCAAGAUUAGGUUUUGUCACUCCGAUUGUCGGAGAGGUAUCUCUGGGCCCUCUUGGUAAUGCACAUCACUAUAAGCCUUGCAAGCAAUGUAGCUAAUGAGUUAGUUACGGAAUGAUGCAUUACGUAACGAGUAAAGAGACUUGCCGGUAACGAGAUUGAACUAGGUAUUGGAUACCGACGAUCGAAUCUCGGGCAAGUAACAUACCGAUGACAAAGGGAACAAAGUAUGUUGUUAUGCGGUUUGACCGAUAAAGAUCUUCGUAGAAUAUGUAGGAGCCAAUAUGAGCAUCCAGGUUCCGCUAUUGGUUAUUGACCGAGAAUAGUUCUAGGUCAUGUCUACAUAGUUCUCGAACCCGUAGGGUCCGCACGCUUAAGGUUUCGAUGACAGUUAUAUUAUGAGUUUAUGAGUUUUGAUGUACCGAAGGAGUUCGGAGUCUCGGAUGAGAUCGGGGACAUGACGAGGAGUCUCUAAAUGGUCGAGACAUAAAGAUCGAUAUAUUGGACGACUAUAUUCGGAGUUCGGAAAGGUUCCGAGUAAUUCGGGUAUUUUUCGGAGUACCAGAGAGUUACGGGAAUUCGCCGGGAGAAGUAUUGGGCCUUAUUGGGCCAUACGGGAAAGAGAGAGGGGCUGCCUAGGGCAGGCUGUGCGCCCCCCAAGGCCUAGUCCAAAUUGGACUAGGGGGAGGGGCCGCACCCCCUCCUUCCUUCCCUUCUCUCUUCCCUUUCCUUCUCUCCUACUCGUACUACAUGGAAGGGCUCCUAGUUCUACUAGGAAAGGGGCGGGAGUAGGACUCCCCUAGGGCGCGCCAUAGAGAUGGCCGGCCCUCCCCGUCCUCCACUCCUUUAUAUACGGGGGCAGGGGGCACCCCAUAGACACACAAGUUGAUCUUCGUGAUCGUUCCUUAGCCGUGUGCGGUGCCCCCCUCCACCAUAUACCACCUCGGUCAUAUCGUUGCGGUGCUUAGGCUAAGCCCUGCGUCGGUAGAACAUCAUCAUCGUCACCACGCCGUCGUGCUGACGGAACUCAUCCCCGACACUUUGCUGGAUCGGAGUCCGGGGAUCGUCAUCGAGCUGAACGUGUGCUGAACUCGGAGGUGCCGUACGUUCGGUGCUUGGAUCGGUCGGAUCGUGAAGACGUACGACUACAUCAACCGCGUUGUCAUAACGCUUCCGCUUACGAUCUACGAGGGUACGUGAACAACACUCUCCCCUCUCGUUGUUAUGCCAUCACCAUGAUCUUGCGUGUGCGUAGGAAAUUUUUUGAAAUUACUACGUUCCCCAACAAGCAUCCCACUUAUGAUUAACCUCUAUUGCAAGCAUCCGCAACUACAAAAGAAGUAUUAAGGUAAACCUAACUAUAGCAUGAAACUAGUGGAUCCAAAUCAGCCCCUUAUGAAGCAACGCAUAAACUAGGGUUUAAGCUUCUGUCACUCUAGCAACACAUCAUCUACUUAUUACUUCCCAAUGCCUUCCUCUAGGACCAAAUAAUGGUGAAGUGUCAUGUAGUCGACGUUCACAUAACACCACUAGAGGAGAGACAACAUACAUCUCAUCAAAAUAUCGAACGAAUACCGAAUUCACAUGACUACUAAUAGCAAGACUUCACCCAUGUCCUCUGGAACAAACGUAACUACUCACAAAGCAUAUUCAUGUUCAUGAUCAGAGGAGUAUUAAUAUGCAUUAAGGAUCUGAACAUAUGAUCUUCCACCAAGUAAAGCAAUUAGCAUCAACUACACGGAGUAAUCAACACUACUAGCAAUCCACAGGUACUAAUUUGUUGUUUUGAUACAAGAUUGGAUACAAGAGAUGAACUAGGGUUUUGAGAGGAGAUGGUGCUGGUGAAGAUGUUGAUGGAGAUUGACCCCCUCCAGAUGAGGGGAUCAUUGGUGAUGACGAUGGUGAUGAUUUCCCCCUCCCGGAGGGAAGUUUCCUCGGCAGAACAGCUCCGCCGGAGCCCUAGAUUGGUUCCGCCAAGGUUCCGCCUCGUGGCGGCGGAGUUUCGUCCCGUAAGCUUGCUUAUGAUUUUUUUAGGGUAAGAGGCUUCAUAUAGCAGAAGAUGGGCACCGGAUGGCCAACAAGGGGCCCAGGAGACAGGGGGCGCGCCCAGUAGGGGGGCGCACCCCCCACCCUCCUGGCCAGGGUGUGGGCCCCCUCUGGUAUUUUCUUCGCUCAGAAAUUCUUAUUAAUUCCAAAAAUGACUUCCGUGGAAUUUCAGGAUUUUUGGAGCUGUGUAGAAUAGUUUCCAAUAUUUGCUCCUUUUCUAGCCAGAAUUCCAGCUGCCGAUGAUAAACCUUGUAAAAUAGGAGAGAAUAGCCAUAAGUAUUGUGACAUAAUGUGUAAUAACAGCCCAUAAUGCAAUAAAUAUUGAUAUAAAAGCAUGAUGCAAGAUAGACGUAUCAGCAACCAUAAGGUUUUGUCGAUCCAAAGGGUGCUAACAAAGUGUGCAAGCUCCAGCAAUCCAUUUAUGGACUGGUGCAAGCCUCUCGGAGUUGGAAUAAACGCUUUGAUAGUGUGAUCAAAACAUAUGGUUUUAUACAAACUUUUGGAGAAGCAUGUAUUUAGAAGAAAGUGAGUGGGAACUCUGUAGCAUUUCUAAUAUUAUAUGUAGAUGACAUAUUGUUGAUUGGAAAUGAUAUAGAAUUUCUGGAUAACAUAAAGGGAUACUUGAAUAAGAGUUUUUCGAUGAAAGACCUCAGUGAAGCUACUUACAUCUUGGGCAUCAAGAUAUAUAGAGAUAGAUCAAGACGCUUGAUAAGAUUUUUCAAUGAGUAUAUGCCUUGACAAGUUUUUUGAAAGAGAUCAAAAUGGAUCAGUCAAAGAAGGAGUUCUUGUCAAUUAUUACAUGGUGUAAAAUUGAGUAAGACUCAAAGCCCGACCACGGUAGAAGAUAGAAAGAGAAUGAAAGUCAUUCCCUAUGCCUCAGUCAUAGGUUCUAUAAAGUAUGCUAUGUUGUGUACCCGACCUAUUGUGUACCUUGCCAUGAGUUUAGCAAGGGCGAACAAUAGUGACCUACAAGUAGAUCACUGGACAGCGGUCAAAAUUAUCCUUAGUGAGGACUAAGGAAAUGUUUCUUGGUUAUGAGGGUGAUAAAGAGUUCGUCGUAAAGAGUUACGUUGAUGCAAGCUUUUACACGAUCCAUAUGACUCUAAGUCUCAAUCUGGAUACAUAUUGAAAGUGGGAGCAAUUAUCUAGAGUAGCUCCAUGUAGAGCAUUGUAGACAUAGAAUAUUUGCAAAAUACAUACGGCUCUGAAUGUGACAGACCCGUUGACUAAACUUAUCUCAUGAGCAAAACAUGAUCACACCUUAGUACUCUUUGGGUGUUAAUCACACAGCAAUGUGAACUAGAUUAUUGACUUUAGUAAACCCUUUGGGUUUUGGUCACAUGGUGAUGUGAACUAUGGGUGUUAAUCACAUAAAGAUGUGAACUAUUGGUGUUAAAUCACAUGGCGAUGUGAACUAGAUUAUUGACUCUAGUGCAAGUGGGAGACUGAAGGAAGGCAAUAAUAAAGUUAUUAUUUAUUUUCUUAUAUCAUGAUAAAUGUUUGUUAUUCAUACUAGAAUUGUAUUAACCGGAAACUUAGUACAUGUGUGAAUACAUAGACAAAACAUAGUGUCCCUAGUAUGCCUCUACUAGACUAGCUUGUUAAUCAAAGAUGGUUAUGUUUUCUAACCAUAGACAUGUGUUGUCAUUUGAUGAACGGGAUAACAUCAUUAGGAGAAUGAUGUGAUGGACAUGACCCAUCCGUUAGCAUAGCAUUAUGAUCAUUACAAUUUCAUUGCUACUGCUUUCUUCAUGACUUAUACAUGUUCCUCAGACUAUGAGAUUAUGCAACUCCUGAAUACCGGAGGAACACCUUGUGUGUUAUCAAACAUCACAACAUAAAUGGGUGAUUAUAAAGAUGCUCUACAGGUGUCUCCGAAGGUGUUUGUUGGGUUGGCAUAGAUCGAGAUUAGGAUUUGUCACUCCGUGUUUCGGAGAGGUAUCUCUAGGCCCUCUCGGUCAUACUCAUCACUAUAACCCUUGCAAGCAAUGUGACUAAUGAGUUAGUUGUGGGAUGAAGUAUUACAAAAAGAGUAAAGAGACUUGCCAGUAAUGAGAUUGAACUAGGUAUGAUGAUAUCGAUGAUCGAAUCUCGGGCAAGUAACAUACCGAUGACAAAGGGAACAACAUAUGUUGUUUUGCUAUUUGACCGAUAAAGAUCUUCAUAGAAUAUGUAGGAGCCAAUAUGAGCAUCCAAGUUCCGCCAUUGGUUAUUGACCGGAGAUGUGUCUCAGUCAUGUCUACAUAGUACUCGAACCCGUAGGGUCCGCACGCUUAACGUUCGAUGACGAUAUGUAUUAUGAGUUAUGUGUUUUUGAUGAUCGAAGUUUGUUCGGAGUCCCGGAUGAGAUCACGGACAUGACAAGGAGUCUCAAAAUGGUUGAGACAUGAAGAUUGAUAUAUUUGACCAUGUUAUUUGGACACCAGAGGAGUUCCGGAAAGUUUUGGAUAAAACCGGAGUGCCGGAGGGGUUAUUGGAACCCCCCCUCCCCCCCCCCCCAGGGGGGUGAGGGGGGAACUAAUGGGCCACCAUGGGCCUUAGUGGAGGGACAGGAGGGCGGCCAGGGCAAGCCCCCCCCCUUGGAGUCAGAAUAGGACAAGGGAAGGGGGGGCGUCCCCUUUCCUACUCCCUCUCCCUCUCCUUCCUUUCCCAUCUCUCCCUUGUGGUGGAAUCCUACUAGGACUAGUAGUCCUAGUAGGACUCCUCUCUUGGGCACGCCCCUAGGGGCCGUCCAGUCUCCCCCUUGCUCCUUUAUAUACGGGGGCAAGGGGCACCCUAAGACAAACAAGUUUCUCUCCCAACCAUCUGCGGUGCCCACCUCCAUAGUUACACACCUCGAUCAUACCAUCAUAGUGCUUAGGCAAAGCCCUGCGCCGGUAGCAUCAUCAUCACCGUCGCCAUGCCGUCGUGCUAACGGAACUCACCCUCAUCCUCAACUGGAUCAAGAGAACGAGGGACGUCAUCGAACUGAACGUGUGCUGAAUGCGGAGGUGUCGUACGUUCGGUACUUAAUCGGUUGGAUCAUGAAGAAGUUCGACUACAUCAACUGUGUUAUUGAAACGCUUCCGCUUUCGGUCUACGAGGGUACGUGGACACACUCUCACCUCUCCUUGCUAUGCAUCACCUAGAUAGAUCUUAUGUGAUCGUAGGAAAAAAUUUGAAAUUACUGCGUUCCCCAACACCUCCCUCCUAAGUUCCAUCUACAUCAACCAAGCAUCGUCGUCCACAUUGUUGGAGAAGGGGGACGACAUGAUGCAUGGCCUUGAAAACUCUAGCAGAAAACAGCUCAAAAUGAAAACAGGGGAUAUUGCUGGGAUACGGAGGUGAAAACCUUCGGGAGAUUAUAUAAUGAUUUUUUAUCGACCAAAAGGAGUGUACUACAAGAAAACAGAGUCUGGAGGGCACACGAGGUGGACACAAGCUAGGGAGGCGCGCCCAGGGGGGUAGGGCGCGCCCCCAUGGCUUGUCGCCUCCUCAUGUACUUUUCAGACUACUUUUAAUUUUCCUAAUUUUUUUAAAUAUUCCAAAAUGGAGUAAAAUUGCCAUUGAAAAUGUUUUGGAGUCAGUUUACUUACCGUACCACAUACCUAUUCCUUUUCAGAGUCUGAAACGUUCUGGUAGAUCUCCCUUAUGUACUCCUCUGGUGUUAUGGCAUUAAUAAUAUUGGUUCAACAUUUAUGGGAGUACCUAAGAUAUAAUGUUUGAUUCUUUGCCCGUUUACCACCUUCCGGUUUGUGCCUUCGGCAUUGUUGAUCUUGAUGGCACCGGAACGAUAAACCUCCUCAAUAAUGUAAGGACCUUCCCAUUUAGAGAGAAGUUUUCCUGAAAAAACUUAAAACGAGAUUUGUAUAGCAAGACAUGGUCACCUACAUUGAAUUUGCGCUUUUUUAUCCUUUUGUCAUGCCAUGUUUUAACUUUUUCUUUAAACAACUUGGCAUUUUCAUAAGCUUGGGUUCUCCAUUCAUCCAGUGAGCUAAUGUCAAAUAACCUCUUUUCACCGGCCAGUUUGAAAUCAUAGUUGAGCUCUUUAAUUUCCCAAUAAGCUUUAUGCUCUAGUUCUAUAGGUAAGUGACAUGCUUUUCCAUAAACCAUUUUACACGAAGACAUGUCCAUAGGGUUUUUAUAAGCAGUUCUAUAAGCCCAUAAUGCAUAUCAAGUUUGUUAGACCAAUUCUUUCUAGAUCUAUUGAUGGUCUUUUGCAGGAUCAAUUUAAUUUCUCUAUUACUCAAUUCUAGUUGACCACUAGACUGAGGACGAUAAGGAGAUGCAAUUCUAUGGUUGACAUCUUAGCAAGCAAUUUAUGAAAAGGACCAUGAAUAAAGUGUGAAGCACCAUCGGUCAUUAAAUAUCUAGGGACUCCUAACCUCGGGAAAAUAACUUCUUUAAGCAUUUUAAUAAAAGUGUUAUGAUCAACACUACUAGUCGGAAUAGCUUCUACCCACAUAGUAACGUAAUCACCAGCAACUAAAAUAUGUGUAAACCCAUUAGAGGAAGGAAAAGGUUCCAUAUAAUCAAAGCCCCAAACGUUGAAUGGUUUAAUAACAAGUGAAUAAUUCAUAGGCAUUUCCUAAUGUGUACUAAUAUUACCGAUUCUUUGGCAUUCAUUAGAAGACAAUACAUACAUACAAGCAUAUUUGAAGAGAGUAGGCCAAUAAAAACCAGAUUGUAAUACCUUGUUUGCAGUUCUAUCUCCAGCAUGGUGUCCUCCAUAGGCCUCGGAGUGACACUUGCUUAGAAUAUGUUCAUGUUCAUGCUCAGUUACACAACGUCUAAUAACACAAUCUACUCCUUUAUAAAGGUGUGAGUCAUCCCAAAAGUAAUGUCUUCAAUCAUAGAAAAACUUUUUCUUUUGCUGGUAUGUGAAACUAGGUGGUAUAAGUUUAGCAACAAUGUAAUUAGCAUAAUCAGCAUACCAUGGAGCACAAUGAGAAGCAUUUAUGACAGCUAGUUGUUCAUCAGGAAAGCUAUCUUCAAUAGGUAGUGGGUCCUCAAGAAUAUUUUCUAACCUAGACAAGUUGUCUGCUACGAGGUUAGAACCCAUCUUAUAGGUCUAGGUUUAGCAUCUUUAUUUUCCAUAAGGUAUUUAAUAGCAGCAUGAUCAGUGUGAACAAUUACUUUGGAAUCAACAAUAUAAGAUCUGAACUCAUCACAAGCAAAUACAACUGCUAGAAAUUAUUUUUAGUAGUAGCAUAAUUAGUUUGAGCAUUGUCUAGAGUUUUACUAGCAUAAUGAAUAACAUUCAAUUUCUUAUCAACUCUUUGUCCUAGAACAGCACCAGCAGCAUAAUCAUUAGCAUCACACAUAAUUUCAAAGGGUAGAUUCCAAUCAGGUGGUUGAACAAUAAGUGCAGAAAUCAAGGCUUUCUUAAGUAUUUCAAAUGCUUCUACACAAUCAUCAUCAAAGUUUUAAUUUGGGUUUUCCCGCAACUAAAGAAAAAGAAAAUGGAAGAAUUCUUCUUAUUGCAUAAUAAAAUAAAAUAAAGAAAACUUAGAAUUCCGUUUGCAUAAGAUACGCUACACCAUACUAUCAAAAUCAAAAAUAGGGUAUAAGACAAUUAAUAAAAUAACUUUGAACAAAUGGGACAUCUUUUUUCAAGAGAUUUGUGAGAGGCCUAGAAAUUUUAGAGAAGUCUUUAAUAAAUCUCCUAUAGAAACCAGCAUGACAAAGGAAACUUCUUGUACCUUUGAUAUUUUUAGUACACGGCAUUUUUUCAAUAGCAUCAACUUUAGCUUUAUCCACUUCAAUACCUCUUUCGGAGAUUUUAUGCCCCAAGACAAUGCCUUCAUUGACCAUAAAGUGGCACUUCUCCUAAUUCAAGACAAUAUUAGUUUCUUCACAUCUCUGCAAAACUCAAUCAAGGUUGCUUAGGCAAUCAUCAAAAGAAGUUCCGUAAACAGAGAAAUCAUCCAUGAAAACCUCAACAAUCUUUUCACAAAAGUCAAAAAAUAUAGCAGUCAUACAUCUUUGAAAGGUAGUAGGUGCAUUGCAUAAACCAAAAGGCAUAGGUCUAUAAGCAAAGGUACCAAAAGGGCGAGUAAAGGUAGUUUUUUCUUGAUCCUCUUGUGACACAGGUAUUUGAGAAAAACUAGAAUAACCAUCUAGAAAGCAAAAGUGUGUAUGUUUUGAUAGUAUUUCUAGCAUUUGAUCAAUAAAAGGUAGAGGGUAAUGACCUUUCCUAGUAGCUUUGUUUAAUUUUCUAAAAUCAGUUACCAUUCUAUAACCUGUAACAAUUCUUUGUGGAAUAAAUUCAUUUUUAUCAUUAGGAACAGCAGUAAUACCUCCCUUCUUAGGGACACAAUGAACAGGACUUACCCAUCUACUAUCAACAAUAGGAUAAAUUAUACCUGCUUCCAGGAGCUUUAAUAUUUCAUUUCUUACUACUUCCUUCAUCUUAGGAUUUAACCGUCGUUGAUGAUUAACAACUGGUUUAGCAUCAGGCUCCAUAUUAAUUUUGUGCUGACAUAGAGUGGGACUAAUGCCCUUAAGAUCAUCAAGAGUAUAUCCAAUAGCGGCACAGUGCUUCUUCAGAAUUUUCAAUAAUUUAUUUUCUUCAUGCUCUGAAAGGUUAGCACUAAUAAUAAUGGGAUAUAUCUCAUUUUCAUCAAGAUAAGCAUAUUUCCGUGUAUCAGGUAAUUGUUUAAGAUCAAACACAGGAUCACUCUUAGGUGGUAGAGGAUCUCCAAGAGUUUCAACAGGCAAAUUGUGUUUCAACACAGGCAUAUGUUUAAAGAAAAUCUCAUCUAAUUCCUUUAAUUCAUUCAUAAACAUAUUAUUUUCAUGGUCUAGCAAAUAUUGUUCUAAAGGAUCAGUAGGAGGCACAGCAAUAGAACCAAGACCAAUAAUUUCAUCUUUACUGGGCAAUUCUUUAUCAUGGGGUUGUCUAUGAAAUUUGGAGAAAUUAAACUCGUGAGACACAUCCCCAAAACUUACACUAACAGUUUCUUUCUCGCAACCUAUCUUAGCAUUAACAGUGUUCAAGAAAGGUCUACCAAAUAUAAUGGGACAAAAAUCAUCUUGUGGGCAACCAAGAAUAAUAAAAUCAGUAGGAUAUUUUAUUUUCUCACACGAGACUUCAACAUCUCUAACAAUCUCAAUUGGUGAUAUAGUAUCUCUAUUAGCAAGCUUAGUAGUAACAUCAAUAUAUUCUAUUUUAUCUAGUUCAUUAUCAUUCAUAAUUUCUUGAUAUAAGGUAAAGGGUAUUGCACUCACACUAGCACCCAAAUCACAUAAGCCAUGAUAACAAUGAUCUCCUAUUUUAACAAAAACAACAGGCAUGCCAACAAUAGGUCGGGUUUGGCAAUUCUAGCAGCUUCAUCACAGAAAUAAAUAACAUGCCCAUCAAUAUUAUCGACCAAGAUAUCUUUAACCAUAGCAACACUAGGUUCAACUUUGAUUUGUUCAUGAGGUGUAGGUGUUCUAGUAUAACUCUUAUGAACCAUAGUUGAAGCUUUAGCAUGUUCUUUUAUCGUAACAUGAAAAGGUGGUUUUUCAAUGUAAGCAGUAGGAAGAAUAGGAUCAGGAUUAUAAGUAAUAGUUUCUUCUUCAGCUUUAAUAGGUUCCACUAGUUUACUUCAAUGGGAGGAUGAUAUUUAAACCACUUAUCCGUAGGGAGACCAACAUGAGUAGCAAAUGAUUCACAGAAAGAAACUACUAUUUCAGAGUCAAGUCCAUAUUUAGUGCUAAAUUCAUGAAAAGCAUCGGUAUCCAUAAAAGAUUUCACACAAUCAAACUUAAGGUUUAUACCUGACUCCUUACCUUCGUCGAGUUCCCAAUCUUCAGAGUUCUGUUUAAUUCUUUCCAAUAAAUCUCAUUUGAAUUCAAUAGUCUUCUUCAUAAAAGAACCAGUACAAGAAGUAUAGAGCACGGAUUGAUCAUUACGAGAAAGUCGAGCAUAAAAAUUCUGAAUAAUAAUUUCUCUUAAGAGCUCGUGAUUGGGGCAUGAAUAUAACAUUGAUUUAAGCCUCCCCCAAGCUUGAGUGAUAAUUUAUCCUUCACGAGGCCAAAAAUUAUAAAUAUAAUUCCGAUCAUGAUGAACCAGAUGCAUAGGAUAAAACUUCUGAUGAAAUUCCAAUUUCAAUCGGUUGUAGUUCCAAGUCCCAAUAUCAUCGCAUAGCCUAUACCAUGUCAAUGCCUUCUCCUUCAAAGAUAAAGGGAAGACCUGAUUCUGACUUCAUCCUCAGGCAAACAUGCAAGCUUAAAUAAUCCACAAACUUCAUCCACAUAGAUUAGAUGCAUAUCAGGAUGUAAUGUUCCAUCUCCUGCAUAAGGAUUAGCUAGCAGUUUCUCUAUCAUACCCGAAGGAAUUUCAUAAUAAAUAUUUUCAGUAGGUUUAGUAGGUUGAGGAGAAACUUCUUGCUCUACUGGUCGGGUGAAGAUACCCCGAACAAGCCCCUCAAAGGAUUAUUUUCCAUAGUGACAAGUGAUAGUAAAUUUCAGCAUGUAAUAUAAAUGUUUCCUUACCAAAUUCCACUUACCAAAGGCGCUUCACUCCCCGGCAACGGCGCCAGAAAAGAGUCUUGAUGACCCACAAGUAUAGGGUAUCUAUCAUAGUCCUUUCGAUAAGUAAGAGUGUCGAACCCAACGAGGAGUAGAAGGAAAUGAAGCGGUUUUCAGCAAGGUAUUCUCUGCAAGCACUGAAAUUAUCGGUAACAGAUAGUUGUGUGAUAAGAUAAUUCAUAACGGGUAACAAGUAACAAGUGAAACUAAGGUGCAGCAAGGUAGCCCAAUCCUUUUUGUACCAAAGGACAAGCCUGGACAAACUCUUAUUAUACCGACCAGACCUCAAACAGUCUAGUCUCUAUGCAUUAGUGUCAUCCCUGGAUCGGUAAUGCUGACACGCACAGUACUCGAGGAUUUAUAACAGAGUAGCAAUCACACACUUAUUACAUUGAAUGUCUCAAAAGAGAACUUAGUACAAUAAUAUGGCUUAAGGCCAUCUAAAAAUGAUAACAGCGGAAGGCUUGGAAGAUAAAGUGAGUCCAUCAACUCCAACGGCAUAGCUGAGUGAAAGACAACGACAUAUGGCACCUUACUCGUCGUCUGAAAAGUCUACAACAUGAAACGUUGCAGCCCGAAACGAGUCAGCACAUGGAAUAUGCUGGCAAUAUAACACAUAGAGUAAUGAAUAGAAUAAAUGCUAUCACUACAUGCAUAUAUGGCUGGUGGAAAGCUCUAUGGUUACAGUUUUGCAUAAAGCCAAUUUUCCCCGACAACAAAGGAAUAAAAAGAUUUAACUAUCAUGGUGGUUGUUAAACAUUGAGAAGGUUCCUCCAACUCAAUCCCAAUUAAGCAUCAUUAUUAAACCCAAUAAAAUUAUAUUUAGAGUGAUGAGAUCAACAUGAUAAUCCAAGAACCAGAUACUCAAGAUGUCCAUAAUCGGGGACACGGCUAACCAUGAUUAGUUUGUACACUCUGCAGAGGUUUGCGCACUUUUCCCCACAAGACUCGAAUACAUCCAUGGUCAGAGAUUCGAGACACAGUCUUUCUGAAACAAUAACUCUUUACUCUGGGUGGACAGUUACACCUACUUUCCCCUACAUCUGCUAGCCCACCAUUAAAAGAGGUCAUGCAACAUACUCAACUAUGGUAGAGCCCAUAAUAGCUUGUGGCUGCACAUGCAAGUUUCUAGCAUGAAUAAUCUUAUGAUCCCUUUGAGCCUGGGUGGCGGACCGUAGGAUGAUCACACGCGUACUCCGGGAUAUCCUAGGACAACACUGGAUUCUCCAGGUGCCCUGACAACCACUGGGUACUCCAGGGUGCCUCGAGCAAUCCACCCAGAUGUGUAUUUAAUUAACCACCUUAAGUUAACCAUUAAUUAGCAAUACUCACAUCUAUCAUGGAUACACUCACCCAAACCACGUCUACGAGCAUAGCAUAGCAAUAUAAACUCAGCAUAGAAGUAACUCCCAAAGGUUUGAUAAUAAACAGGGCAAUAGGUUCUACCUCAUCAUCUACUUCCCAAAACCCACAUAUUAAUCAGAUCCUAACCAUGCAAUGUUAGAGGGUUGAUCUAAUGCAACAAAAUUGGGUAGUAAAUAGGUAUGAUCAAAGUGUUACUUGCCUUGCUGAUGAUCCGUGAAACCUAGAGACUCGUAGAAGCACGCUUCGCACUCUGGGUACUCUAUCGCAAACAAACAAUAACAUACAUAAGCACUCAACUAGAAGCAUGGGUAAAACUCAAAUAAAAGAUCUAACCACAAAGUUCAACUUAAGAACUCCGGUUUGCAAAAAGAAUCAAAUCAAAUGAAGCAACGAAACUCAAACUGCGAAAGAAACGAGAUCCGUUUACUAAUCUGGACUAAAGUCAAAGUUACAGUACCAAAAUCUUGUUCAAGUUGUUUAAACAGAAAGAGGGCUUCGAGACAAAGAUCUAGGCGCUUGAAUCGCCUGAUUCCGAUAAAUGAGUGAAAAGAUAAACUAAAACAAAGAUCAGGGCAGAGCAAUCGAAAAUAAUCACGGAAAAACCCUGAAAAAAGAAAAACUGACGAACAAACUAACGAAAGAAUGUUCGUUGUCUGCGGCUAAUGGGUGAACACCGUUCGUUAAAACGAAUGUACGGACGAACGUCCGCUAUUAAACUAAACCGGAAAAACCGAACCGAUCUAAUCUAAAAAAGCGAAUCUAGGUUUUCGAAAUAAAAUCGAAUGGUUUUUAAAAUAAAACCGGCGGCGGAAACUCCGGCGGCGGCGGGCAACUCCGGCGGGCGGCGGCGGGGCGGCGGCGGGGCUGGCGGGUGGCUGCGGCNNNNNNNNNNNNNNNNNNNNNNNNNNNNNNNNNNNNNNNNNNNNNNNNNNNNNNNNNNNNNNNNNNNNNNNNNNNNNNNNNNNNNNNNNNNNNNNNNNNNNNNNNNNNNNNNNNNNNNNNNNNNNNNNNNNNNNNNNNNNNNNNNNNNNNNNNNNNNNNNNNNNNNNNNNNNNNNNNNNNNNNNNNNNNNNNNNNNNNNNNNNNNNNNNNNNNNNNNNNNNNNNNNNNNNNNNNNNNNNNNNNNNNNNNNNNNNNNNNNNNNNNNNNNNNNNNNNNNNNNNNNNNNNNNNNNNNNNNNNNNNNNNNNNNNNNNNNNNNNNNNNNNNNNNNNNNNNNNNNNNNNNNNNNNNNNNNNNNNNNNNNNNNNNNNNNNNNNNNNNNNNNNNNNNNNNNNNNNNNNNNNNNNNNNNNNNNNNNNNNNNNNNNNNNNNNNNNNNNNNNNNNNNNNNNNNNGGCUAGCGGCGGCGGCGGCGCGGCUAGCGGCGGCAGGCUAGGGUUAGGGUUGCGGGGCCGGUGGCUGGGCUGGCGGUGUCCCGGGGUCGGGCCUUAUAAAGGUCGGCCAGAGAAGUCCAGGUCGGGCACGGCCCGACUAAGUCGGUUCCUUUUAAAAAAAAUAUCCUGACACGCAGAAAAACGAUUAAAAGAAAUACUAAACGGACUCCAAAAAUCCUGAAAUAAAUUUUCCCCGUCCUCUAAAAAUAUAGCAGAAAAAGUGAACAUUUAUUUGGGCCUCUAAUGCAAUUUUGAAAACCGCAUUUUUUCCUAAUUCAAAUAAAAUAGCGAUAAAACUCCAAAAAAUGCUUAUUUGAUUUUAAUAUUUUCCCUUCAAUAUUUCUUUAUUUUGGAGAAGUCAUUUUAUCCCAUCUCUUUAAUUUUUAUAUAAGAAAUAUUCAAAGAGAAAUAAUAAUUAAAAGAAAAUGAUCCUCUUUUCAAAAUUUGAGAAAACUCAAAUAUGAAAAUAACGAAAUCCCCAACUCUCUCCGUGGGUCCUUGAGUUGCGUAGAAUUUCUAGGAUCAGCCAAAAAUGCAAUAAAAUAUGAUACGCAAUGAUGAUCUAAUGUAUAACAUUCCAAAUUGAAAAUUUGGGAUGUUACACUUAUAUAAAGCAAAGCGCUCCCGAGGACAUAUGGGAAUUAUUGUCAAGUUAGUUUUCAUCAUGCUCAUAUGAUUCGCGUUCGCUACUUUAAUAAUUUGAUAUGUGGGUGGAUCUGUGCUUGGGUGCUUUCCUUACUUGGACAAGCCUCCUACUUAUGAUUAACCCCUCUCGCAAGCAUCUGCGACUAAAGAAGAAUUAAGAUAAAUCUAACCAUAGCAUGAAACAUGUGGAUCCAAAUCAGCCCCUUACGAAGCAACGCAUAAACUAGGGUUUAAGCUUCUGUCACUCUAGCAACCCAUCAUCUACUUAUUACUUCCCAAUGCCUUCCCUUAGGCCCAAAUUAUGGUGAAGUGUCAUGUAGUCGAUGUUCACAUAACACCACUAGAGGAGAGACAACAUACAUCUCAUCAGAAUAUCGAACGAAUACCAAACUCACAUGAUUACUUAUAACAAGACUUAUCCCAUGUCCUCAGGAACAAACGCAACUACUCACAAAGCAUAUUCAUGUUCAUAAUCAUAGGGGUAUUAAAUAGCAUUAUGAACCUGAACAUAUGAUCUUCCAUCGAAUAAACCAACUAGCAUCAACUACAAGGAGUAAUCAACACUACUAGCAACCCACACGUACUAAUCUGAGGUUUUGAGACAAAGGUCGGAUACAAGAGAUGAACUAGGGUUUGAGAGGAGAUUGCGUUGGUGAAGAUGUUGAUGUUGAUUGACCCCCUCUCGAUGAGAGGGUCGUUGGUGAUGACGAUGGCUUCGAUUUCCCCCUUCGGGAGGGAAGUUUCCCCGGCAGAACAGCUCCGCCGGAGCCCUAGAUUGCUUCUGCACGGGUUCCGCCUCAAGACGGCGGCACUUCGUCCCGAAAGCUUCUUUAUGAUUUUUUUUCCAGGUCAAAACCCUCCAUAUAGCAAAAGAUGGGCACAGAGACCUCACAAUGUUGUGUGAAUACAUGAACAACAUUGUGUCCCUAAUGAGCCCUAUUAGACUAGCUCGUUGAUCAUAGUUGCUGAUGGUUUCCUGACCAUAGACACGAUUUGUCAUUUGAUAAUGGUAUCACAUCAUUAGGAGAAUGAUGUGAUGGACAAGACCCAACCGUAAGCUUAGCAUAAGAUCGCAUCACUUUGUUUAUUUGCUAUAGCUUUCUUCAUGUCAAGUAUCUGUUCAUUCGACCAUGAGAUCAUGCUACUCCUGUAUACCAGAGGAAUGUCGUAUGUCACUAUGUAGCUGGGUGAUCAUAAAGGUGCUCUAUAUGUAUCUCCGAUGGUCUCUGUUGGGUUGCAUGGAUCAAGACUAGGAUUUGUCACUCCAUAUGAUGGAGAGAUAUCUUUGGGCCCACUCGGUAAUACAAUAUCACAUGAAGCUUCAGGUGACUAAUGAGUUUAGUCACGGGAUCUUGUAUUACGGAAACGAGUAAAGAGACUUGUCGUUAACGAGAUUGAACUAGGUAUGGAGAUGCCGACCAUCGAAUCUCGGGCAAAUAACAUAUCACCGGACAAAGGGAAUUGCAUACGGGAUUACCCGAAUCCUCAACAUCGUGGUUCAACUGAUAAAGAUCUUUGUUGAAUAUGUGGGAACCAAUAUGGGCAUCCAGGUCUCGCUAUUUGUUAUUGAACAGAGAGGAGUCUGAGUCAUGUUGAUACGUCUCCAACGUAUCUAUAAUUUAUGAAGUAUUCAUGCCAUGUUAUAACAAUUUUCUAUGGUUUUGGUAUGAUUUGAAUGAAACUAACCCGGACUGACAACGUUUUUAGCAGAACCAUCGUGUUGUCAUUUUUUUUUGCAUAAAUGAAAGUUCUCGGAAUGGGAUGAAAAUUUACGAUGAUUUUUUAUGGACCAGAAGAGACCCACAGAGCACCGGAGCUGGGCCAGGAGAGGGCUGAGGGAGCCACAAGCCUGGGAGGCGCGCACCCUAGGGAGCACCCCCCGAGCUUAUGGGCCCCUUGGGCACCCCCCCUGGCAUGAGACCGACGCCAAAAAUUUUUAUAAAUACCCAAAACCCCGAAAAGAACCCUAGAUGAGAAGUUUCGCCGCCGCAAGCCUCUGUAUCCACGAAAACUCAAUCGAGACCCUAUUCUAGCACCCUGCCGGAGGGGAAAUCAUCGCCGGAGGCCAUCUUCAUCAUCCUGGUGGCCACCAUGAUGAGGAGGGAGUAGUUCACCCUCGGGGCUGAGGGUAUGUACUAGUAGCCAUGUAUUUGAUCUCUCUCUCUCUCUCUUGUGUUCUUGGUUUGGCAUGAUCUUGAUGUACCGCGAGUUUUGUUAAUAUAGUUUGAUCAUAUGGUUUUUCUCCCUCUCUAUCUUAUUGUGAUGAAUUGAAUUUACCUUUGAGGUUUCACUAUUAUCGGAUUGAAUACUUUUAUAGAUUUGAGAACACUUGAUGUAUGUCUUGCAUAUGAAUACCCGUGGUGAGAAUGGGGUAUUCUAUUGAUUCACUUGACAAAUGUUUUGGCACUCAACUCAUGGAUUCCCGAGGUGACAUUGUGGUAAUCUAUGCAUAGGGGUUGAUGCACGUUUUCGUCCUUAUUUCUCCGGUAGAAAUCUUCGGGCACUCUUUGAAGUUCUUUGUGUUAAUCUAAAGUUGUUUGAUGCAUAUCGUAUAAUCAACUCACGGAUACUUGUGGUGACAUUGGAGUAUCUAGGUGACAUUAGAGUUGGUUGAUGUGUAUCAUAUGGUGUUAUUUUAGUACGAACUCUAGGAUUGUUUGUGACACUUAUAGGAAUAACUCAAUGGAUUGAUCGGAAAGGAUAACUUUGAGGUGGUUUCGUACCAUACAAAUAAUUUCGUAUUAUGUUGUCUGCUAGACAGUGACAGAGCUAGACAAGAAAUGCUGGAGAGGCAAAAGGCAAACACAGCAAUCUCUGAGGGGGCCAAAGACUAAAGUUUUUCCUAAUUAAGCACCUUCAAAUUUUUUUUCCAGAUAUUUUGUCAAGGUUGGGGGGGUAUGGCCCCUACACGGAUACAUGUAGCUCCUCCAGUGCCGCUAGAUAAGAACUUUGGAGUGACUCUUCGUUGCACUUUGAGGGAUUGUUAUAUGAUUCAAUUAUCUUAGCACUGUUGACAGAUUGCACUAGCAAAAGAAUGAACCCUAGGCCUUGGUUCUGAGCAUUCCAAUACCAUUUUUUCUCCAUUUUACCAAUUGCUACCUUGCUGUUUUUUAUUUUCAGAUUAUAAAAACCUAUAUAUAUAUAUAUAUAUAUAUAUAUAUAUAUAUAUAUAUAGUAUCCAUACUACACUUGUAUCACCAUCCCUUCGCCGAACUAGUGCACCCAUACAAUUUUCCGUUGUAUUAGGUGUGUUGGUGACACAAAAGAUAUCUUGUAUUUGAUUGCAGCGUUGUUUGAGAGAGACCAUCUUCAUCCUACGUCUCCCAUGGAUUGAUAAAUCUUAGGUCGUCCACUUGAGGAAAAAUUGCUACUAUCCUACAAAACUCUGGCUUGGAGGCCCCACACGAGUCUACAACAAUAAAGUUGUGUAGUAGACAUCAAGCUCUUUUUUGACGUUGUUGCCGGGGAGGUGAGUGCUUGAUGGUAUAUCUUUAGAUUGCAAUUGAACCUUUUAGUUUCUCGUUGGGCCAUGCUACGCGUCCGCCGGUCGAUGUUUAGAUUUUAUCCGUCGCCUCGACGACCGUUGGAUGCCCAAACAGAUAGCCGUCCGAUCUACUGUCCGCGCCCCGCAUGCACACUCGUUAUUUCCCGCAACAACCGCUCUGUUGCGGAAACAACACUAUUUCCUCCGGCCCCAACAGAGUUGCGCCUCGCGCUGCGCUGCCGCAAUCCAUCGCAAAAUCAGCCCGCUGAUACAUCUCCAACGUAUCUAUAAUUUUUUAUUGUUCCAUGAUAUUAUAUUACCCCUUUUGGAUGUUUAUGGGCUUUAUUUUACAUAUUUAUAUCAUUUUUGGGAUUAACAUACUAACCAGAGGCCCAGCCCAUAUUGCUGUUUUUUUUGCCUAUUUCAGUAUUUCGAAGAAAACGAAUAUCAAACAGAGUCCAAACGGAAUGAAACCUUCGGGAGCGUGAUUUUUGGAACGAACGUGAUCCAAAGGACUUGGAGUGCAAGUCAAGAAGCAAUCGAGGCGGUCAGGAGAUAGGAGGGCGCGCCCACCCCUCCUGGGCGUGCCCGCCUGUCUCCUGGGCCCCUCGAGCAGCCACCGACGUACUUCUUCCUCCUAUAUAUACCUACGUACCCCGAAAACAUCCAGGGAGCCAACGAAAAACAAUUUCCACCACCGUAACUUUCUGUAUCCGUGAGAUACCAUCUUGGAGCCUUCGCCGGCGCUCUGCCGGAGGGGGAAUCGACCAUGGAUGGCUUCUACAUCAACACCAUAGCCCCUCCAAUGAGUUGUGAGUAGUUUACCACAGACCUUCGGGUCCAUAGUUAUUAGCUAGAUGGCUUCUUCUCUCUUUUUGGAUCUCAAUACCAUGUUCUCCCCCUCUCUUGUGGAGAUCUAUUUGAUGUAACUCUUUUUGUGGUGUGUUUGUCGAGAUCCGAUGAAUUGUGGGUUUAUGAUCAAGUGUAUCUAUGAGAAAUAUUUGAAUCUCCUCUGAAUUCUUUUAUGUAUGAUUGAGUUAUCUUUGCAAGUCUCUUCCAAUUAUCAGUUUGGUUUGUCCUACUAGAUUGAUCUUUCUUGCCAUGGGAGAAGUGCUUAGCUUUGGGUUCAAUCUUGCGGUGUCCUUACGCAGUGAUAGAAAGGGUUGCAAGGCACAUAUUGUAUUGUUGCCAUCGAGGAUGGGGUUUAUAUCAUAUUGCUUGAUUUUAUCCCUCUACAUCAUGUCAUCUUUCUUAAUGUGUUACUCUGUUCUUAUGAACUUAAUACUCUAGAUGCAUGCUGGAUAGCGGUCGAUGUGUGGAGUAAUAGUAGUAGAUGCAGGCAGGAGUCGGUCUACUUGUCGUGGACGUGAUGCCUAUAUACAUGAUCAUGCCUAGAUAAUCUCAUAAUUAUUCGCUUUUCUAUCAAUUGCUCGAUAGUAAUUUGUUCACCCACCGUAAUACUUAUGCUAUCUUGAGAGAAGCCACUAGUGAAACCUAUGGCCCCCGGGUCUAUCUUUUAUCAUAUAAGCUUUCAAUCUACUUUUAUUUGCAUCUUUACUUUUCCUAUCUAUAUUAUAAAAUACCAAAAAUAUAUUUAUCUUAUUAUACUAUCUCUAUCAUAUCUCACUUUCGCAAGUGGCCGUGAAGGGAUGGACAACCCCUUUAUUGCGUUGGUUGCGAGUUCUUUGUUUGUUUGUGUAGGUGCGUGGGACUUUUGAGGAGCCUCCUACUAGAUUGAUACCUUGGUUCUCAAAAAUUGAGGGAAAUACUUAUGCUACUAUUGCUGCAUCACCCUUUCCUCUUCAAGGAAAACCAACGCAAGCUCAAGAUGUAGCAAGAAGGAUUUCUGGCGCCGUUGCCGGGGAGGCCUUCGCUCAAGUCAAGACAUACCAAGUACCCAUCACAAACUCAUCUCCCUCGCAUUUACAUUAUUCUCCAUUUGUCUCUCGUUUUCCUCUCCCCACUUCACCCUUGCCGUUUUAUUCGCCCUCACUUUCCCAAUCUUAUCCUCUCUUUUUCUCUUGCCUUUUUCUGUUUGCUUGUGUGCCUGUUUGUCCUUAUGGCUUUGCCUAAGAGUAUCGACCUCCUUCUUAGAAGGUUGAAAGAGAUUGAAUCAAAUGUUAGAAGCUUUAUGACUUUGCUAUUUCAGCAUAAUAAUUUCUUCAGAAAAGAGCUUAAAGAACAAAAAGGUUUUUUGGGGUUUAUGAAUAAGGAGCUUGAUGAUAUGAAUAAAGAAUUUUAUGGUGUGAACUCUCAAAUUACCCGUCUUGAGAAGGCUAUAGCCCAAAUUUCUGAUAAGCAAGCUACCUUAGUCAAUAAGAUGGCUGCCAAACCAGAAAAGUUACAUGAAAAUAAUGAUGAAGAUCUUAAAGUUAUUGAUGUGUCCCCUAUUAGAUAUUUGUUUUGCAAUAUGAAUCUUGGUAAUAAUGGGACUGGAGAUGAGUCAACUUUAGUUAGAAGGUGUCCCAAUAAUUAGGAGUUUUUAGAUCUUGAUGCUAAAUUUGGUAAAAGUGGGAUUGGAGAGGUCAUGACUUUAAAUAGUAUUGAACCCACUAUCUCGGAUUUCAAGGAAUUUUAUUAUGAUAAUUGUUCUUUAGAAGGUUGUAUUUCCUUGUUGCAAUCCGUUGUUAAUUCUCCUCAUGCUUAUAGUCAAAAUAAAGCUUUUACCAAACAUAUCGUUGAUGCCUUGAUGCAAUCUUAUGAUGAAAAAUUUAAUUUGGAAGUUUCUAUACCUAGAAAACUUAAUGAUGAGUGGGAACUACUAUAAAGAUUAGAAUUAAAGAUCAUGAGUGUUUUGCUUUGUGUGAUUUGGGUGCUAGUGUUUCCACGAUUCCGAAAACUUUAUGUGAUAUUCUAGGUUUCCAUGAUCUUGAUGAUUGCUCUUUAAAUUUGCACCUUGCGGAUUCCACCAUUAAAAAGCCAAUGGGAAGGAUCAAUGAUGUUCUCAUUGUUGCAAAUAGAAAUUUGGUGCCCGUUGAUUUUAUCAUUCUUGAUAUAGAUUGCAAUCUUUCUUGCCCUAUUAUUCUUGGUAGACCUUUCCUUAGAACGAUUGGUGCGAUUAUUGAUAUGAAGGAAGGGAAUAUUAGAUUCCAAUUUCCAUUAAGGAAAGGCAUGGAGCACUUUCCAAGAAAGAAAGUUAAAUUACCUUAUGAAUCUAUCAUGCGGGCUACUUAUGAAUUUAGUGCCAAAGAUGGCACUACUUAGAUCUAUCUUCGCUUUUAUGCCUAGCUAGGGGCAUUAAACGAUAGCGCUAGUUGGGAGGCAACCCAAUUUUAUUUGUGUUUUUUGUUUUUGUUUCUGUUUAUUAAUAAAUUUUGCAUCUACCUUAUGUUUAUAUGUGUUUUUAUGUUUUAGUUAGUGUUUGUGCCAAGUAGAACCUAUAGGAUAACCUAUGGUGAUAGUUAAUUUGAUUCUGCUGGAAAGAAGAAACUUUGCGCGCACGAAAUUAGUUUUGUUAAAUCACAUAAACGUGAUUUUGCAUUGAUUAUUUUUGCUUCUGAUCAAUAGAUAAAUUGUAAAUGACUUCCUAUUUUGGUAGGAUUUUUAGAGUUCCCGAAGUUUGCGUUAGUUAUAGAUUGCUACAGACUGUUCUGUUUUUGACAGAUUCUGUUUUUCGUGAGUUGUUUGCUUAUUUUGAUGCAUCUAUGGCUAGUAUUAAGUGGUAUGUGAUAUCUCCAACGUAUCUAUAAUUUUUGAUUGUUCCAUGCUAUUAUAUUACCCUAAUUGGAUGUUUAUGGGCUUUAUUUUACACAUUUAUAUCAUUUUUGGGACUAACCUACUAACCGGAGGCCCAGCCCAUAUUGCUGUUUUAUUGCCUAUUUUAGUAUUUCGAAGAAAAGGAAUAUCAAAUGGAGUCCAAAUGGAAUGAAACCUUCGGGAGCGUGAUUUUUGGAACGAACGUGAUCCAGAGGACUUGGAGUGCGAGUCAAGAAGCAGCCGAGGCUCCCACGAGAUAGGAGGGCGCCCCCCCCAUAGGGCGCGCCCCGCUGUCUCGUGGGUCCCUCGAGCGGCCACCGACGUACUUCUUCCUCCUAUAUAUACCUACGUACCCCGAAAACAUCCAGGAGCAGGACGAAACACAAUUUCCACCACCGUAACCUUCUGUAUCCGCGAGAUCUCAUCUUGGAACCUUCGCCGGCACUCUGCCGGAGGGGGAAUCGACCAUGGAGGGCUUCUACAUCAACAUCCUUGCCCCUCCGAUGAUUUGUGAGUAGUUUACCACAGACCUAUGGGUCCAUAGUUAUUAGCUAGAUGGCUUCUUCUCUCUUUUUGGAUCUCAAUACAAUGUUCUCCCCCUCUCUUGUGGAGAUCUAUUCGAUGUAAACUCUUUUUGCGGUGUGUUUGUCGAGAUCCGAUGAAUUGUGGGUUUAUGAUCAAGUUUAUCUAUGAAUAAUAUUUGAAUCUUCUCUGAAUUCUUUUAUGUAUGAUUGAGUUAUCUUUGCAAGUCUCUUCGAAUUAUCAGUUUGGUUUGGCCUACUAGAUUGAUCUUUCUUGCCAUGGGAGAAGUGCUUAGCUUUGGGUUCAAUCUUACGGUGUCCUUACCCAGUGACAGAAAGGGUUGCAAGGCACGUAUUGUAUAGUUGCCAUCGAGGAUAACAAGAUGGGGUUUAUAUCAUAUUGCAUGACUCUACAUCAUGUCAUCUUGCUUAAUGUGUUACUCUGUUCCUUAUGAACUUAAUACUCUAGAUGCAGGCAGGAGUCGGUCGAUGUGUGGAGUAAUAGUAGUAGAUGCAGGCAGGAGUCGGUCUACUUGUCAUGGACGUGAUGCCUAUAUACAUGAUCAUGCCUAGAUGAUCUCAUCAUUAUUCGCUUUUCUAUCAAUUGCUCGACAGUAAUUUGUUCACCCACCGUAAUACUUAUGUUAUCUUGAGAGAAAACACUAGUGAAACCUAUGGCCCCCGGGUCUAUCUCUUAUCAUAUUUGCUUCCAAUUUACUUUUAUUUGCAUCUUUACUUUUUGCAUCUAUAUUAUAAAAUACCAAAAUAAUAUCUAUCUUAUCUUACUACCUUUAUUAGAUCUCACUUUCGCAAGUGGCCGUGAAGGGAUUGACAACCCCUUUAUUGUGUUGGUUGCGAGUUCUUUGUUUGUUUGUGUAGGUGCGUGGGACUUUUGAGGAGCCUCCUACUAGAUUGAUACCUUGGUUCUCAAAAACUGAGGGAAAUACUUACGCUACUAUUGCUGCAUCACCCUCUCCUCUUCGAGGAAAACCAACGCAAGCUCAAGACGUAGCAAGAAGGAUUUCUGGCGCCGUUGCCGGGGAGGUCUUCGCUCAAGUCAAGACAUACCAAGUACCCAUCACAAAUCCAUCUCCCUCGCAUUUACAUUAUUUGCCAUUUGCCUCUCGUUUUCCUCUCCCCCACUUCACCCUUGCCGUUUUAUUCGCCCUCUCUUUCCCAAUCUCCUCCUCUCUUUUUGCUUGCCUUUUUCUGUUUGCUUGUGUGUCGGAUUACUUGCUGCCAUGGCGCAAGAUAAUACCAAAUUGUGUGAUUUUUCAAAUACCAAUAAUAAUGAUUUCCUUAGUACUCCUAUUGCUCCUCUUAAUGAUGUUGAGUCUUGUGAAAUCAAUACUGCUUUGCUGAAUCUUGUUAUGAAAGAUCAAUUCGCCGGCCUUCCUAGUGAAGAUGCCGCUACUCAUCUAAACAACUUUGUUGAUUUGUGUGAUAUUCAGAAGAAGAAAGAUACGGAUAACAAUAUUGUCAAAUUGAAGUUAUUUCCGUUUCCACUUAGAGAUCGUGCUAAAGUUUGGUUUUCGUCUUUGCCUAAAAAUAGUAUUGAUUCUUGGAACAAGUGCAAAGAUGCUUUUAUCUCUAAGUAUUUUCCUCCUGCUAAGAUUAUCACUCUUAGGAAUGACAUUAUGAAUUUUAAACAACUUGAUCAUGAGCAUGUUUCCCAAUCUUGGGAAACAAUGAAAUUGAUGCUUCGCAAUUGCCCUACUCAUGGUUUGAAUUUAUGGAUGAUCAUACAAAAAUUUUAUGCCGGUUUGAACUUUGCUUCUAGAAAUCUCUUAGAUUCGGCUGCGGGAGGCACGUUUAUGGAAAUCACGUUAGGAGAUGCUACAAAACUUCUUGAUAAUAUUAUGGCUAAUUAUUCUCAAUGGCACACCGAAAGAUCUUCUAGUAAAAAAGUGCAUGCUGUAGAAGAAAUCAAUGUUUUGAGUGGAAAGAUGGAUGAACUUAUGAAGAUGUUUUCUACUAAAAAUACUCCUCUUGAUCCCAAUGAUAUGCCUUUGUCUUCUUUGAUUGAGAAUAAUAAUGAAUCUAUGGAUGUGAAUUUUGUUGGUAGGAAUAGUUUUGGAAACAAUGCUUAUAGAGGAAACUUUAAUGCUAGUCCGUUCCCUAGUAAUUCCUCUAAUAAUUAUGGAAAUUCCUACAAUAAUUCUUAUGGUAAUCUUAAUAAGAUGCCCUCUGAUUUUGAGAAUAGUGUGAAAGAAUUUAUGAUUUCUCAAAAGAAUUUUAAUGCUUUGCUUGAAGAAAAAUUGCUCAAAGUUGAUGAUUUGGCUAGGAACGUUGAUAGACUUUCGCUUGAUGUUGAUUCUCUCAAACUUAGAUCUUCUCCUCCUAAGCAUGAUAUCAAUGAGUCUCUCAAAGUAAUGAGAAUUUCCAUUGACGAGUGCAAGAAAAGAACCGCUAGAUUGCGUGCUAAAAAAGAUAGCUUUAUAAAAGUGUGUUCUUCUAGUUUACAUGAAAAUAAUGAUGAGGAUCUUAAAGUUAUUGAUGCGUCUCCUAUUAGAUCUAUGUUUUGCAAUAUGAAUUUGGAUGAUUAUGGUACUGAUGAUGAAUCAACUUUGCCUAGAAGGCGUCCAAAGAAUUCGGAGUUUUUAGAUCUUGAUGCUAAAUUUGGUAAAAGUAGGAUUGGAGAGUCCUCAACUUCAAAUAACAUUGAACCUACUAUCUCGGAUUUCAAGGAAUUUGAUUAUGAUAAUUGUUCUUUAAAAGGUUGUAUUUCCUUGUUGCAAUCCGUUGUUAAUUCUCCUCAUGCUUAUAGUCAAAAUAAAGCUUUUAUCAAACAUAUUGUUGAUGCCUUGAUGCAAUCUUAUGAUGAAAAACUUAAUUUGGAAGUUUCUAUACCUAGAAAACUUAAUGAUGAGUGGGAACCUACUAUAAAGAUUAGAAUUAAAGAUCAUGAGUGUUUUUCUUUGUGUGAUUUGGGUGCUGGUGUUUCCACAAUUCCGAAAACUUUAUGCGAUAUUCUAGGUUUCCAUGAUCUUGAUGAUUGCUCUUUAAAUUUGCACCUUGCGGACUCCACCAUUAAAAAGCCUAUGAGAAGGAUCAAUGAUGUUCUCAUUGUUGCAAAUAGAAAUUUGGUGCCCGUGGAUUUUAUCGUUCAUGAUAUAGAUUGCAAUCUUUCUUGCCCUAUUAUUCUUGGUAGACCUUUCCUUAGAACGAUUGGCGCGAUUAUUGAUAUGAAGGAAGGGAAUAUUAGAUUCCAAUUUCCAUUAAAGAAAGGCAUGGAGCACUUUCCAAGAAAUAAAGUCAAAUUACCUUAUGAAUCUAUCAUGCGGGCUACUUAUGAAUUUAGUGCCAAAGAUGGCACUCGUUAGAUCUAUCUUUGCUUUUAUACCUAGCUAGGGGCGUUAAACGAUAGCGCUAGUUCGGGUCCAUAGUUAUUAGCUAGAUGGCUUCUUCUCUAUUUUUGGAUCUCAAUACCAUAUUCUCCCCCUCUCUUGUGGAGAUCUAUUUGAACUCUUUUUGUGGUGUGUUUGUCGAGUUCUGAUGAAUUGUGGGUUUAUGAUCAAGUUUAUCUAUGAGAAAUAUUUGAAUCUCCUCUGAAUUCUUUUAUGUAUGAUUGAGUUAUCUUUGCAAGUCUCUUCGAAUUAUCAGUUUGGUUUGGCCUACUAGAUUGAUCUUUCUUGCCAUGGGAGAAGUGCUUAGCUUUGGGUUCAAUCUUGCGGUGUCCUUACCCAGUGACAUAAAGGGUUACAAGGCACGUAUUGUAUUGUUGCCAUCGAUGAUAAAAAGAUGGGGUUUAUAUCAUAUUGCUUGAGUUUAUCCCUCUACAUCAUGUCAUCUUUCUUAAUGCGUUACUCUGUUCUUAUGAACUUAAUACUCUAGAUGCAUGCUGGAUAGCGGUCGAUGUGUGGAGUAAUAGUAGUAGAUGCAGGCAGGAGUCGGUCUACUUUUCGCGGACGUGAUGCCUAUGUACAUGAUCAUGCCUAGAUAAUCUCAUAAUUAUUCGCUUUUCUAUCAAUUGCUCGACAGUAAUUCGUUCACCCACCGUAAUACUUAUGCUAUCUUGAGAGAAGCCAUUAGUGAAACCUAUGGCCCCCGGGUCUAUCUUUUAUCAUAUAAGCUUUCAAUCUACUUUUAUUUGCAUCUUUACUUUUCCUAUCUAUAUUAUAAAAUACCAAAAAUAUAUUUAUCUUAUCAUACUAUCUCUAUCAGAUCUCACUUUUGCAAGUGGCCGUGAAGGGAUUGACAACCCCUUUAUUGCGUUGGUUGCGAGUUCUUUGUUUGUUUGUGUAGGUGUGUGGGACUUUUGAGGAGCCUCCUACUGGAUUGAUACCUUGGUCCUCAAAAACUGAGGGAAAUAUUUACGCUCAUAUUGCUGCAUCACCCUUUCCUCUUCAAGGAAAACCAACGCAAGCUCAAGACGUAGCACCCGCCGCCGGCAUGCAGGAACUAAAUUGAAGUUUCUGCAAGACUAUGGUGCACCAUGGUUGGAUCUGACGCAAAUCCAGCUCACCGAGGAGGCCUGCUUCGAGAACAUCCGCGGCCUCUACUCCAGCAUGACGGCAAUGAGCUCCCAUGCUGGGCACUCCUUUGACGAUUUUUGCAAACUGAAACUAUGUUUUUGAAACAUGUGUCAUGUUGCAAAUGUUUGGCCUCAUACGCUCUAACAUUGUGUGCUCCUCCAACGCUUUUUGCAACCAGGGCUAUGUUUCUAAAGCAAGACCCAUGUUGCAAAAAAAACCUCGCUGCCGAACUACUUUUUCUAAAACAAGACCUGUAUUGCAGAAAUUUUCUAAAUCUAGACCCUGUUGCUUAAAAAAAACUUCAGCACUGAACCGUUUUUUAUUUCUGAAACAAGAUCUUUGUUGCAGAAACCACUGAUCUCUGAAUCAUACCUGCUUGAGUCAUCGCCGGCCACCGCCGAUCCCGAGCAAGUCAUCGUCGCCACUGCGGUGGAUAAGGCCUGGUGGCACAACGCCUUGCGCCGCCACACCCGUCCGCCGGCUCCCAAAUCCAGUCGCUCGCCCUCUAAUCCAGACGAGCCCCGAACCCCUGCCCCCCUACGGUUACCCAGUUGCAGGAAUGACUGUCUUGAAACAACAGGUGAGUUGCAGAAAAACAGACGCGGCUUCGGCGAACGCGGGGACACUAUCGACCGUCUGAUCAACACACGAUCAAACGGCCACGGAGCCGGCGGACGGGCGCGCGCGACCGCCCGGUAGAAGGUAAGCUUUUUCCUUUCUUGUUUUAUCACUAGUUUGGUUUAUAAAAGAAAAAUAAAAACAUAUGGAACUGAGGUUGCCUCAUAUGCUUCGGCUUUUUAAUAUCUUCGUGAAAUGGUGGAAAGGAAAAUUGUGCCCAAUUGUUAGAAGAAGAAUUCAAUAAAAUGUUUGGCAUAAAAUCUUUGAAUGGUGAGCAUAUAUGCAAUGUUGUUAUUAUGAACUCUAUGAAUAUCCAAAAUACUAAUGAUGAUUGCACUAGUCAUGACAAAAAUGUUUCUUAUAAGCAUGUCAAUUUUUGUGGAGUGCAUAAAAUUUGUGAAGACAUGCCUUAUAGAGAUGAUAGAUUUUGUAAGAAGCAUAAACAAGAUAAAACCAAUUGGUGGUUUAAAGUGAUAGAUGAAUUUGCCACAAAAUUAUGCUUUGUUCAUCCCACCACUUGUGAAUUUUGCAAUAUGAUUGGUCAUCUUAAUUUCCAAUGCAAAUUUUUUCAUGAUCGAAUCGUGUCCAAAUAUUGUAAUGACUUGAUCACCCUUGAAAUUUAUAAUGAAUUUUGUUUAUUUUUGGGGUGUGAAGAAUAUUUAUGUGCAUUUUAAUUUAUUGGACCAAGAACUUUGUUUGAUAUGAUGCACUUUUGGUUGUAGGAUUAUAAAGUUUGAUUGAUAUGAUGCACUUUUGGUUGUAGAAAUCUGAAAAUAUUGCUUUACAUGAUGAGUUUGAUGUUCAAAUGCGCUUGUAUAUUAGCUGUACAUUGGUUGUACACAGCCGCGCAUCCGGUUUUACAUCUUCACAUAUGCACCAUCUAUUGGAGUUGGAGUUCUACAUCACAAAUCUAUUGGAGGCGACUAGCAAAAAUGCCCGUGCGUUGCAAUGGGAGGAAAAUAAUGACGGCAGGUGCAAGUACAUGUGUUAUGUGCAAGCACAAUGUCCCAUAAUGUCGGAUCAGUAUAAACCACAUGCUAAUUAUUUCAUCCAUCAAACUUCUAAAAAAUGCAACAUUCAGACCUUUAUCUACUACCUCUAUAAAAGCACGAGAGGGCGGAGAACCAAUUCAUCUCAUCCAUCCAAUUAAAGAAUCUAACGAUCCAAAUCAUCGGAAUGUUUAGCAUCAAACCACGGUUAGCUCAGCCCACUAAUCCCAUGAUCCACCCCUGUCAUCCGUCCCCCCGGCUCGAAGAAAAAAACCACGAGAGCACCAUGCUCUCUCGUCGGUUGCUCAUAUCCUGCUCCCGCAUGACCUCUCGCCCCCUCCUCCUCCUCCUCCUCCCGCCUCCUGCCUCUCCCUCCUCCGCUCCCUCCUGCUCCGCCUCCGUGCCAUUCCCCGCCCCCACCUCCCCACCCUCCUCUCCCUCGCCCUCCCCGGCAAAAACGGCAACGACGGCGGCGGUGGCAACAACAGCGGCGGCGGUGGGGAUGACGAAACAGGGGACGGCGGCGGCGAGUGGGGCGGCCACCGGGGGGAGGCGCUGUUCGUGCUGCCGCAGGCGGGGAGGAAGCUCUCCAGCCUGCCGGCGGACCUCGCCAUGGCCGUGGAGGGCGGCCGCGUCACGGGAUAUGGAGCGCUCGCCGCUGCUCCAUUGGCUGCUGGGCUUUAGAUGGUUCAGGGAGCGCCUCCUCGCCGACGACCUCUUCCUCGCCAAGCUCGCCAUGGAGAUGGGCGUCGGCAUGAUCGCCAAGGUCCGUGGGAUCGACAUGGAUGAAUCAUGAAUGCUUUCAAAUUAUACUUACGCGCAACCCUGCCGCGGCCACCGCUAGGGUGCCGGCGAGGGAUAGGCUCUGCUUUGCCCCCGCAUCUCCACCAGCUACCGCCGCGCCGCCGCUCCUCGCCAUGGAAGGUGCCCACGUUGCCGACCCUGUGCGCCGCCCGCGGCACAGCUGCAAGGUGGUGAUGUCCACCCCUGCGCUGGAGCACGCCACCUUCGUCCUCAAGCGCCAGGCGGUGCUGCUCACGGCGGCAGAUGCGCGCCGGCCCUCUAGUGCCAUGGCGGUCGGGCUGGAGCUCGAGGCGCGGCUGCGCAUCCCGCCGCACCAGCUGCGGAUCACCAGCCACGACCCGGAGGACUACCUCAUCAUCUUCGACCUGCCGAUCCAUCAAGACCAAGUUGUCAAGCUCGGCUCGCUGACAGUCGACGGCGCCAAGUUCUUCAUCAAGCGCUGGCACGAGGAUGACCACGCGGUGGUGCAAACCUUCAACUACCAUGUCCGGGUGGUCAUUGAGAAGAUGCCGCGGCAGUUCUGGUCCGUCGAGGGGGCGGAGGAGGCCCUGGGCUGCCGCGUCGACCGCCUCAACAGCCGCACCUUCGAGCGGAGCCACACCAAAAGAUUCGCCUGCUGGGUGUGGGUGUGGGAUGUUGGGCUCAUCCCGACCAAGCACACCUUCUGGCGGAUGGAGCGAGGGGCGGGCCGCGUGGAGGAGAUGCUCGGUUUCUCCCCGCCGGGACGCGUCAUUGCCACACCACCAUCUGCGAGCCGGCACGACGUCCUCAUCCACGUGGACCGCAUCGAAGACUGGUCGCCCUACGAGCCGCGGUCGCCGCGCUCGGCGCAGAGCGGCCUGCCUUCCUCGGAGUCUGACGACGACGACAGGCCCAUGCCGCGGAUCAUCCCCGUCGCCUCCUGGAAGAAAGGAGUGGAGGACGGUCAGCGCGACCCUCAGCACCGACGCCAGCUCGCCGUGCUCGCCGAUGUGGGCUGCCGCGGUGCGCCCCGUGGCGGUGGCCGUAAGGAUGACGAUGGAGAAGACCAGGGCGGCCGCAGAUCAUGGAAGGACACGCUGCUAGGCCAGAGCCGCGCCGGCAAGGAGAAGGUGGGGGAGCAGGAGAGCUCCUCCAGGCGCCGUAGCCGCUCACCGCCGGGGCAGCGCUGCUCGGAGAGCUCGCGCGGCCGUCGCAGCUCCGCCCGUCAUCAAGCUGCGGUCACCGGGGGUGCUACCCUCCAUGCGCCGCGCCCCCUACCCCCGCUGGCUGCGGCUGCGGCCGCCACGGACCAAGACCCGAUCGCUGAUUUCUUUGCCGGCGCCAAGACCCAGCUCCCGCAGCCACCACCUUUCGACUGCAUGGCUGCUGAGCUGGAGGCUCACGUGUCUGCCGCCGUCGCGACCCCACUGGAGUUCAACGACCAAGUCAACCGCGUCAACAAGGCGGACGCGGGCCUGCCAGACGCCUUCGGCCCAACCUUGGCGGGCCCAGCUAUUGCGGUGGGCCUCCUCAGUCGCAAGGAGCCGGCCCGCGCCGCAGCGGUGGAGGUGCAGCUCGGAGCCGUAACGCAACAGGUAUGCUGCCUAUAGCUGGGUGCAGAGGGCGAAGAUUCAGACCUGAACGCGGCCCUGCUGCGCCUCUUCCAAGCCUUCAAGCCGCCGCUGGUGCCCGACGCACCGGUGCGACGCUCGUCGGCCCCGCCAAAGACCAGGGCCACGCCUGCCCCGGUGCGCCAUAGUGCCUGCCAGGCGGCAAAUCCGUCGACGGUGCCAGUUGCGCAGCGGGGGACGCUGCGACUUGUGCGCGAGCUGGGGCUACUUGGCCCGAAGGAGAAGAUGACCACCAAGGCUGCUGAGAAGUUGCUCCGGAAAUUCGACGAGCCGCUCACCGACGACGACAUCGCCUGCAUCGCCAAGCUGACUCGCCUCAACAAGGAGGCGCUGCGCGUAGCGGCCUCCAUGGCCGGCGCGGAUGGAGUGGCCGAGGAGGCCGUAGUCUGGUCAUGUUAGUGCAAGCUAUUAGGUCUAUCCAACGGCGCCCGGCCAUAAGCGGGGUUGACUUAGGGCUCGAUGUUUCUCUUGUAGGGCUAGUGGUUACGAGUAGCUGGCGUUGCUGCAAUUUGGGGCCUAUUGGUGGGCAGCAACGUUCCCUGAAUGUUGGGGGAGUGUUCUUGUUGUGGUCAGUACUUCUAUCUUCAAUCAAUGAAACUAGUAGCCGUUGGAGGAUGAUCAGGUGUUCCCAUGGAUGACAACCACUGUCCGAUAGUUAGUUGGAAUGUACGCGGGCUUAACAUGCUAGCCAAGCGUGACGCUGUCUGCGAAGCGGUCACGGCGCAUCGACCAGCAAUUGUAUGUCUUCAGGAGACGAAAAUUGACACUUGGUCGCCGGCUCUAGUUAGGGAUAUAGGAGGUAGCAGGCUAGCCGACUGCGUAGUGCUGCCUGCGAUCGGGUCCAGGGGCGGGGUGGCCAUUCUUUGGGAUAGCGAGAUUGUCUCGAUCGUGUCCCAGGCAAUAGGAGAAUUUGCCAUCACUACAAAGGUAACGAUCAGGCAAUCGGCCACCACAUUUUGGCUGACCGCGGUCUAUGGUCCGGCAGACGACAGUCGGGAGGAUGCUUUCCUUUUGGAGCUAGCAAGAUCUGCCCCCCCCCCCCUGGCGAACCUUUGCUCCUCAUUGGUGAUUUCAACAUAAUUUACGAAGCUAGAGAUAAGAACAAUUUCAACCUUAAACGGCGCAUCAUGGGAAAGUUUAGAGCGGCACUAGAUGUGGCAGGCUUGCGGGAAAUCAAAUGUAAAAACAGGCGAUUCACCUGGAGUAACGAGCGGCAAAACCCAACGCUGGUUAGUAUAGAUAAAUUCUUCUGCACUAUGAGCUGGGAACUUCUCUUCCCCGCCUAUGGCUUAAUGGCCGCAGCCACGGCGUGCUCCGAUCACUGCCCGUUGGUCUUAGCGCCAUGCGAAGCUCCGAUCCAUCGUGCUCGCUUUAGAUUUGAAUCCUUCUAGCCACAGUUCCCGUGCUUUCACAUUACCGUGGAGCGCGCCUGGAGCAGGCCGGUUCAGCAGCGUUGCGCGUUUGCGCGUCUGCAGGUCAAGGUGGCCAAGGUGGCGCACGAUCUGAAGAUAUGGAGCAGAUCGUUGUUUAGCGACGCCAAGACCCAAUUCCAUAUAGCCAGUGAGGUCAUCCUUCGACUUGAUGUGGCGCAGGAGACGCGAACACUGUCAGUUGCAGAGUUCAACCUGCGCAAACUGCUCAAGCUAAGGCUGGUGGGGCUGGCGGCAAUCGAGCGGGCUAGAAGGAGGCAAGCCUCCAGGGUUCUUUGGCUGCGAGCAGGCGAUGCCAGCAUGAAGUUCUUCCAUGCCAAGUGUUGUUCCCGAAGGCGCAAAAACUUCAUCCAUUCAAUCCAGAGCGACGAUCGCUGUGCCACGGCGCAUGGUGACAAGGAGCAGCUAAUACACGACCACUUCAGCAGCAUGAUGGCAGCAGGCGCGGGACGACGCGUCACUCUGAACUGGAGAGAGCUGCAGCUACCAAGGGUUGAAGCAGCAGGGCUGGACAAUCCAUUCACAGAGGGAGAGGUCUGGGCAGCAAUCAUGCAGUCACCAGCGGAGAAGGCGCCAGGCCCUGAUGGCUUCAAUGGAACUUUCUUCAGGGCCUGCUGGUCGAUCAUCAGUGCAGAUCUCAUGGCAGCUUUCCACCAAUUCUACCGCCUGGCGGGCGGGAACCUUGAUGUUUUGAACUUGGCCUUUGUUGCCCUGCUGCCGAAGAAAGAUGGAGCUGUGCGGAUGACAGAUUUUCGCCCGAUUAGUCUAGUCCACUGCUUUGCAAAGCUAGUCACAAAGGUGCUGUCAAUUCGGCUCUCCAAAGUUAUCAACAAGAUCGUCUCCCAUCCUCAGUCAGCCUUCCUGAAGACGAGAUGCAUACAGGACAGUUUCCUCUAUGUCCAAAAUGGAGUGAGGGCUCUGCAUCGAUCCAAAACCCCAGCGAUGUUACUCAAACUGGACAUCUCAAAAGCCUUUGACAGCGUGUCCUGGGACUACCUGCUAGAGCUGCUGCAGGAAUUGGGGUUCAGUGCCAGAUGGAGGGACUGGAUCGCCUGGCUGUUGGCAACAUCAAACUCGGAGUUCAUGCUUAAUGGAGUGCCAAGGAGGAAGAUUAAACACCGCAAGGGCCUGCAACAGGGCGACCCGAUGUCCCCACUGCUGUUUAUUCUGGCCAUUGACCCGUUGCAGCGCCUAAUCGAUGCAGCAGUUCAACAACAGAUGACGCAGCCACUGCCGAGGAGGGAGUUGAAGCUGCGAGUUAGCCUGUACGCAGAUGACGCAGUGGUGUUCAUGAACCCAGUGAAAGAAGAGAUGGAGGUGCUAACCACCAUACUGAACCUGUUCGGCGAGGCCACGGGUCUAAAGAUUAACAGGCAUAAAUCAACAGCGACCCCAAUCAGAUGUGAAGAACUGGAUGUCCAGCAAAUUCUACAAAGCUUUGGAGGAAUCAUCACAAAUUUCCCGCUAAAGUACUUGGGGCUCCCGCUAACUCUGACUAGAACUAGACUUGUGCACCUCCAGUAUGUUUUGGACCGAAUCAGAGCGCGGCUAGCGGGAUGGAAGGGCAUGCUUAUGUCCAUUGCGGGCCGGCGAGUCCUCGUCAGAGCAGUCCUAACUGCAAUCCCUGCGUUUGCAAUGACAGUGCUUCGCAUGCCCAAGAAAUUCUUCAGAGAAAUUGACAAGGUCAGGCGGCACUUCCUGUGGGCACAAGAGAAUGAGCUUUCCGGAGGCAAAUGCAAAGUUAGCUGGAGCAAAGUGUGCUCACCGGUGGAUAAGCAGGGACUUGGCAUCCUUAACCUUGAGUGCUUUAGCAGGGCCCUGCGGCAACGUUGGCUAUGGCAAUCCUGGAAGCACCCAGAAAAGCCAUGGGUGGGCAUGGAGGUGCCGUGCACUGCCUCUGAUCGGUUGUUUUUCAGCACGGCCACCUCGGUUACGAUUGGUAAUGGACAGACGGCAAGGUUUUGGACCUACUCCUGGCACCAGGCCGGUGCACUGCACCUCCUCUUUCCAGCGUUGUACCAGCACUCCAGGAGGAAGAACAGAUCGGUAGCAGAUGCCAUACGGGAUGAUCAAUGGAUCCUCGACCUUUCGCACGGGCAGACAGAUCAAAUAGUACGGGACUGCGUUGCCCUGGCAAGACUGCUACGACUGCUGCCCGUAAGCCUCGUUUCUGACACGAGUGACGAGAUCAGAUGGAACUUGGAGGGCACCGGCUGCUACACUGCUGCUUCGGCUUACCGGGCGCAAUUCCAAGCGAACCUCAACUCCACAUACCCGCAGCUAAUCUGGAAGACUUGGGCGCCAGGGAAACUGAAGAUUUUCUUUUGGCUGCUCCUGCUAAAUAGGCUCUGGUGCAAUGAUCGACUGCAGCGAAGAGGAUGGCCUAAUGCAUACUUCUGUCAGUUCUGCUUCAGAAACCUCGAGACGGCUGACCACAUCUUCUGGUCCUGCCCCUUCACUCUCACAAUUUGGAACAUCAUUUCGUUUUGGAAGGGCUGUGAAGCUCUGCGUUUGCAGCCUGAUGAACAGCCCACAAGCAGCGCCGAGAGGAUCAUGAGCAUUGUCCAGGCCUCAGAACCAGUGUUCAGGAAGGGCAUAAAGUCACUCACAAUGCUAGCAGCCUGGGAAAUUUGGAAACACAGGAACGAUUGCACUUUCAGGGGGAAGGAGGCAUAUGAGACAGUAAUCUUGCAGGCCAUCAGGCGAGGCAUCGAGCUAUGGAGGCAGGCCGGAGCAACAUGCCUGAUGCAUCCAUUCACGCUGCCACCGGAAGGGAUAGGCUGAGUAGAGCUGGCGUUGAGACGUGUCGCCAUGUUUUUUCUUCAGUUUCCGGUUUCCAGUUUUCAGUUAUUCCUUUGAUCAUUCCGAUCACCCCAUGUAUUUGACUUUUCUCCACUGCUUCCUGCUAUGAUCAACAUGAAAAGCCAGCCAAGCUGGAUCUUUCAAAAAAAAUAUUCUUAGUUUAUCCUCCUUUGGUUUUCAGAAGAAAAAAAAUGAAAUCGCGUUUUAAUUUGUCUGACCCUUUUUUGUUGCUGCUCCAUAAGGUCCUCCCGGCGCCUCACACUUGCCGCCGUGCCAUCUCUCCAUCCAGAGUGCCCCGAGGCUCCCUCCCACCAUUCCUUCCCCCGCGGCAGUGUCACCAUGGACCACGGAGCAAAGUCUCGACCGCGGCGGCGCUGUCGUGUUGAGGAGGGAGGAUCAAGAAGGGGGGUGGAGCUGGGGCGACGGCCACACGGAAGGAGCCGGGAGCAUGCCAGAGCGGCACUCAGUUUGCUCAGGUGCCGCUGUGCAGUCGUAUCUACGAGCAGGUAUAUUUGGAAUUGGAGGAAACAUAUCCUGAUUACUCUCUGGUUUUAUCUACUUUGUCUCGUUUGCUUGCUUCAACUCAUGGCGUUCUCAUCCAUGGAGCCUGCGGCCGGGUGGGGAGCUCCUCGCAAGUUGUGGCGACGGCUGAAAUAAAUUGCGCUCGUUCAUGUGGUCGACAGUGAGGAAAAAGCACAUGUUUUUUUGGUUGAGGUUGCUCUGCACUUGUUCGUAGCAAUACCAAACAACGGUAGAAACUUCAUUUGUUUGUCAGGCUUGUUUGUGGUUUUACUAAACUUCUUUGUCAGGCUUGUUUGUGGUCUUUCUGCUGAACUUCAUUUGUAGAUAUUGCACAAAAGCAUGAUGACGACUACGAGCCCGCCCCGUCGCCGCCGCGCCCCUGCUGCUUCCGCAGUGCACCGCUAUUCUUACACCUGCAGCCUUCACAGCCUGCCUCUACCGCUCCCGCCAGCACCCCGUCGCGGCUGUCGUCGCCGGAGAGACACCCACCGCCGGCACAGGCGCAUGAGCCAUCGCCGCCGGAGAUAAGUCAGAGACCCGGAGCCCCCAUCCUGGUAUUGGACCUUCCAAUUCAAGGCACCUUCCACCUAAUACUGGAGUAAGUGGUAUGGCACUCUCUCUCCUUUCCGGAUGGGCCGAUGGAUAAGAUGCAUUUUUGUCCCCUCUUUGAAUUGAGUACAAGCAUGUAUCUGAACUUUUACCCACUUCUCUUCUGUCGAUGGGCACGAUGUGGUGCAGGUUCCACAGAUUCAGGAAAAGCAGGGCUGAAUGGAAUCCAACGGAACUAAUGUUGCAGCUAUAGCAUCCGAUAUUUAGUGAUACAUGUUUAAUUCGGUGAUAACAGGUAUAUCAUCCCAUAUUGUUUCACUUGCAUGGUUCUGUUCCAUUGAUGUUGUAGCUGGUACUUGCCAGUCUCUAUGGAGUAUAGGUACGAGUGGAGUAAGUGAGAAGAGUACAUUAUUGUAGGUUGCAUGUACUUGUUGUAGUUACCUAAACCAUGCAAAAAUGGACAGAUUUUUCAACAUAUGAAGCUGUUAUUAGCUAACAUCUCUUCUUUUUUCUCAUUUAGUUGCAUUACUGGAAGGUGGGUCAGGGCGCAGUGUUGAAUCAUCUUGAUUGGCCCGAGAGAAAUGAGGACGCUGCGACAGGCAACCUUUUGCUUACUAACCUCGCAAAUAUUUGAAGCGUAAGUCUCUAACUACGAAAAUGAUCUCAAAACCUUUCAUGUGACAUUGCACCUAUGAUAUGGAGAGUAUGACGAAUUAUACAAAAAGAAAAUAUAAUUUAUGGUAAUAGAAUUACAUGUAGUACUUAAUAUUUAUUACCCGUAUGAAGCAAAGUGUCUACAACCUUUAUAACUACAGCAGUUUAACUUUGAUACUCGGCAAUAGGUAUGCCGAGCUUUGCGGUUUGCCACUUCCUGAAGUAAGUAGAAAUAGGAGUUCCAGUUUCUUGAUUUUCAGGAAACUGAGGAGGAGCGUUUGAGUAAAGAGGAGAGGAAUGGUUGGGAAGCAAAUAAGAGGAAAAGGAGAGGAAAAGCAGGAGGAUGAACUGCUAAAAUAUAGCUAUGAUCCCAUGAGUAUAUUAUAAAUAUCAUUUUAGUUUGUUGUCUUUUUAUUGAUUUUUCUUUGUGAUAAUAAUUGAGAAAUAAAGAAUAAUUAUGGCAUGUCAAAUAUUACCAUACUACCAGAUAUUUUUUAUUAUAUUUAGACAUUUCCAUUUUGGGUAGACAUGUGUUAUGUUUCUUAACAUUUUCUUCUUCUUGAUCUCGACUUACUUUGGACAUGCAAAGUGAGGACUUGGAUGUCUGCACACUCUAAUUUGGCUCUGAAGUUUCAAUUUGGAUAUUUGUCUCUUCUAGGUGACUUGUAAUGCAAAUUCUCUAUAAAUACAUUCAUGGAGCUAGGUGAAAACUAAGGGGACUUAUAGCAUGGCUACGGAAAAAGCUAAUAAGUGAUCACUAGGCAGUAGCACCAUAUGUUACAUAUAACUGGGUCAAGCUUUCAUCUUAUUUGGUGCCUCCUUCAUGUGUCCGUGUGUCCAUGUAUGGAUGAAAAACUAUGUAAAUAUUUGACAACUAUUUUGAUAAUUAUUUGAUGUCAAGUGAGACGUGCGUUGCACGUGCAAGCUUACUAGUUGAAGAAAGUGCAAUAUUCAGACGCCGGAUGCAGACAUUAACAUCUCUUUACUCACCCGCGUGCAAAAUCCUUCCAUGAAAUUCCAUUUAUAAAUACUCUUAUCCAAAGCCUUCCCUUCAAGUAUAUGCUAUUUAUUCAGUCUCUUUGUGUUGCUCAGUCGUCUUGUCUAUUGGAUACUUUCUUGUGCUUCCGGUUUAAUGGGAUUUUAACGCAUGAUCGAUGCUCCGCUUUAAUCAUCACCAUGGAAAGUUUACCCAUGCAUGUCAUCUGCCCGUGAGCCCUCCUUUAAUUAUUAUGCGAACAAACACGAGUGAUGUGCUAAAUCGAUGGUGCAACUUCCAUCCUUAAGAAUGCAUAGCAGCCCCACAAUCCUCAGGAUUUAUCAUUUCUUCAUGGCAGCCCAGUUAAUUUCUUCCCAUGAUCUUCAGAUUUUGUUCUCAUUUGGUUUUAAAGUGAUAGAUGAAUUUUCUACUCCCUCCGUCCCAAAAUUCUUGUCUUAGAUUAGUCUAGAUACGGAUGUAUCUAAUACCAAAACGUGACUUGAUACAUCCGUAUUUAGACAAAUCUAAAACAAGAAUUUUGGGACGGAACGAGUACAAAAUUACGCUCUGUUCAUCCCAUCACUUGUGAAUUUUGCAAUAGGGUUUUGGUCAUCUUAAUUUCCAAUGGAAAUUUUUUUCAUGAUCAAAUCAUGUCCAAAUAUUGUAAUGACUUGAUCACCCUUUUACUUUAUAAUGAAUUUUGUUUAUUUUUGAGGUGUGAAGAAUAUUUAUGUGCAUUUUAAUUUAUUGGACCAAGAACUUUGUUUGAUAUGAUGCACUUUUGGUUGUAGGAUUAUAAAGUUUGACUGAUAUGAUGCACUUUUGGUUGUACAAAUCUGAAAACAUUGCUUUACAUGAUGAGUUUGAUGUUCAAAUGCGGUUGUAUAUUGGCUGUACAUUGGUUGUACACAGCCGCACAUCCGGUUUUACAUCUUCACAUAUGCACCAUCUAUUGGAGUUGGAGUUCUACAUCACAAAUCUGUUGGAGGCGAUAAUAUGGAUCAGAGGGAGUAGCAAGAAUCAUCAUUAUGCACCACAGGAGGUGGUGUAACACGGCCUUAGCACAAGAAUAGUCCAAAACUACAGUCACAACAACAAUAAUACUCAAGCUGCUACUGAUGGAGAAUGCGUUAAAUACGCAGGGUUGGAUGUCUACAGGUGAAGGUGUCUACAGGUGAAGGUGUCUACAGCGUUAAAUACGCAGGGUUGGAUGUCUACAGGUGAAGGUGUUCCAGCGGCACUGCAAGCAGCAAUGCCAAUUCUCAUCCAGAUUAUGAGCGGUUGUAUUUCAGUUUGCAUUAGAGACCAUGAUAUCAAACAAGUCAGAACUCUAAGACCAAGACAUGUUGGACACUGACACAUUGUUAUAGUGAACAUAUCAGAUAUAAAAAGCUUAGUAAAAAGAAAGAUAUCAGCAGCUUAUAAUAAAUAAAUAAAAUAAAUAAAUAAAAUAAAUAAAUAAACAAACAAUACCAGACAUCAGGAACUUGCAAAAACAAGGUACGUAGAAAGACAAUGUGGCAAAUGGCCAAAUAUAUUAACCAAUAUAGGUUAUGAGUUUGCUCCUCUCACAAUUUAUCCGCAAUUCGAACAAUUGCAAAAAUGUUACAGGUAUCGUCGUAGCCCUCUUAGAAACCUAAGCAGACGGAGGUAGGAUAAAGAUAUUAACUUCCUAAACUGGGUACACAAAAAAGUAGAAGAAACCUGAUGCAGAACAAAUCUAC
Molecule: long non-coding RNA, 49400 nt
Filed under: Triticum aestivum (bread wheat)
Lineage: Eukaryota; Viridiplantae; Streptophyta; Magnoliopsida; Poales; Poaceae
Description: long non-coding RNA (TAES_LNC007504)
Rfam family: MIR1120/MIR1122 microRNA precursor family (bases 48101-48235)
Source: RNAcentral